This 66693-nucleotide long non-coding RNA is filed under the name Vitis vinifera (wine grape). RNAcentral's name for it is "long non-coding RNA (VVIN_LNC002839)". The record is from RNAcentral. Lineage: Eukaryota; Viridiplantae; Streptophyta; Magnoliopsida; Vitales; Vitaceae.
CAGUUGGUUGGGUUCCCCUGUUUCUGUUGAAAGCUCUUGUCCUAUCCAACUGUAAGCUCAUCGGUGAUCCUGGUUUCCUUCGACACCAAUUAAGAUUAACCGUGGUUGAUCUCUCCCAUAAUAAUUAGACUGGAAGUUUCCCCAUUUGGCUGCUUGAUAACAAUACAAGACUAGGAUCUCUAGUUCUGAGGAAUAACUCUUUAAUGGGUCAACUACUUCCCCUGAGACCUAAUAGUCGUAUCACUUUAUUGGAUAUCUCAGACAACCGACUUCAUGGGGAACUUCAACAAAAUGUGGCCAAUAUGAUUCCAAAUAUUGAGUUUCUAAAUUUAUCCAACAAUCAUCCCCUUCAUUUCAUCCAUAUUUGGAUCUACCUUUAAAUCUCUAUUGCAUACAACCCAUAUAUGAUUCCCUCUAAAUUUAGCCUUCAUUUCUUGCUAAGAGGUUUUAAAAGCCAGCAAUUUAAUUUACUUUCAUCCUCUAGAUUGAUGAGAACUCUUAUAUUUAUCCAAUGAUAGGUAACAUUUUUGCAAAUGCUUUUAUUUGAUUUUUUUAAUUGGUCUUAAAAAUAAGUGUUAAUAAAGAUCCACAAUAUAAAAUAAUAAAUUACAUCUCAAUUGACCUCAAGAUACUAUUUACUUCUACUAACUCAUUUUACAUCUUAAUUGUUCUUAAAAAGUCUAUAAUGGUAAUUAACUAUAGAAUUCAAGUUUUAAUUAUGCAAAAAAUAUAUAAAGGUUUUUAAAGUUAAUAGAAAAAGAGAUUCUGAUAAAUAAUAAGUAGAUUGAAACAUUUAUUUCUAGAAGUAGAGAAAGAUGGAGGAUCAUAAAAGUUGAAAAAAGAAUAAUUUGGAAGUCAUAAAAUUUUGGAAAAAGAAUAAUUCAUAGAGACCUCAUUAACAACAAGUAACAACUAAUUGUAAGUAACCAUGAAAAAAGUAAGGAGAAAAAUAAAGGAAAAUCAAGGAAAGUGACAAAUUUUUUCAUCCCCAUAAAAAAUGAUAAGGAAGAAAAAGGUGAAGAAAGUUUAAAGAAAGUAUAUUUUUCAAAAAUUGAAUUUUCUUUCCCUUAAAGUUGGUAUGGACAACCAAACAAGAAAAUGAUUUUUAAAUUCUUUUUUGACCUUUUUCUAUCAUUCUUUUUUUUUUCCUUACUCUAUUUCCUUUCCCUCAAACUUUCUAGGUAGUAAACAUUACCUAAGAUAAAUAGAGAAGAAAAUAUUUUAUCAUUUAUUUAUUUAGUAUUUUUUUUACCUUUUUUUGUAUUUUAUCCAAAUAUAAGAAAACUAUUUUUCUUUAUUUUUUCUUUUCCUUGUUGCUUUUCAAGAAUCAAGCAUACUUUAAACUUUAAUUAAGAGUUACAUAGAUUUACGGAGAAACAAUGCAACUGGUAACAAAAAAUUAAGGAAAUUUAAUUUUUGAGAGUAAGUAUAAUGAGAUUGGUUUGUUUGAUACAAAAUUUGAAUAAAAAUUCUUUCAAUGAAAAUUCAAGGAAAGGAAAAAAAACAAAUUUAUCUCUAGACUAUAAUACUAAAUCACUUAAAAAAAACUCCUAACAUCGUUUAUGUUCAUCUUUCUUUUUAUGGAUUUGAAAAACCCAAUAAUUUGGAGAAAACUGAUUCAAGGAAGAAUAAUUUUUAGAAUAAAAGAUUAUUAUUUAAGAAGAUCAUAAAUAUUAUAGUCAUUGUUGAAUAUGAUAAAUGAUUAAAAAAAAAAAAGGUAGUAGGAAAUUUGGAUACUUUUAUAAGACAAAUGCAUUUUUCUAGUAUGGUAUGAAAAAAAGGUAAAAUGAUAGGCUUUGAUCAUUUUUUAAGGUAGUUUGUUUAAAUCAUUUUAAUUUAUUUUGAUUUAAUAACAAUAACUUUUAUUACACUAGUUAUUUUGAUUUUCUUUUGAUAGAUUUUGCAAGCUUAAGCAAUUUGGAGGUAUUGGAUUUGAGUGGUAAUUCAUUUAGUGGGAUCGUUCCAUCGUCUAUAAGAUUGUUGUCUUCUCUCAAGUCUUUAUCUCUGGCUGGAAAUCACCUCAAUGGUUCCUUAGCAAAUCAAGGUACAUAUAUUGUGAUUACAGGUUUUUCUAUUUUCUUUUUUAAUAUCUUGUUUGUUCUUUAUGCCAAUGAAGUCAUGCAUGUCUAUUAAUUUUUGGUAUUUAAUAAAAAACUUUAUUCUUAAUUCAUGAAGACCUCAUCAACUGUAAGUAACAACUAGUUGUAAAUUUGGGGGCAUUGAUAAGACGAGGAGAUGAUUGGUUACAUGUCUUAUCACUACUACAAAAAUUGAAAUUAAUGACGCUUUAUUUUAUGACGCUUUCUAAAAGCGUCAUUAUUGAGGGUAUACAAUGACGCUUAUAAGAAGUGUCAUAGUUGUAUUAUUUAUCUUGAUACUGAUUAUAAGUGUCAUUAUUUGAUGUCAUCUUUUUCCUUGUAACUGUGUAUAUAAUGACGCUUAUAAGAAGCGUCAUAGUUUUAUUAUUUACCUUGACACUUAUUAUAAGCAUCAUUAUUUGAUGGGUAUGUAAUGACGUUCUUGAGAAGUGUCAUAGUUGUAUUGACUUUUAAAAUUUUUGUUUUUAAGUUAACUUAUACAAAUUUUGAUAUUAGAAUAUUAUUCUAUAAAUUAAUUAUGGUAAAUUGACAUUAAUAUUAAUGACAUAAAGUUGCUACAUUAAGGUUUUUUUAAAAAAAUUUGGAUAUAAAUAAAAUAAAAUCCUAAUAAAUUAUUUUUUUAUUGUUUGAUAUUAAUUUUUUUAUAGUUUGUAUCAAUACAAUCUAUUUUCAUAAACUAUUUUUCAUUUUUAUUAAAUUAGAAAUUAUCUUAUAUUUCAUUUAAAAAUAAUUUGUUAAUUUAUUUGUGGACCACAAAAAAGUGGCCUAUUUUGAGCACUUGUUCGAGCCUUGGGCCACAUUUAUUGGGUUUAACCCUUUUAUUUGAGAAGGUUUUAUAGUUAAUGAAUAUAAAUUUGAAAUUAUUUAACUAAAAUGAAAUAAAUUAAUAUUUAAAUUAAUUUAAUGAUGAUUAGACUCACAAUAAAACUAAAUGCAAUAAGAAUAUUUAUAAAAACUUUCUAAUAUUUAUGGGAAUUAAGCUCAUUCUAUUAAAUUAGUUUUUUUUUUAAAUAUCAAUAUUCAAAUUAAACCAAUAUCAACCUAAAAUAUCAAAUAAUUAAACAAUAUAAAUUUAUUAUGAGUUCAAUAUAUAAAAAUUAUUAUUGGAAGAUGAAAUAAAGAAUACUAUUUUAAUUUAUUGAAAAAGGACAUGCAUGAUAUUUUAGAAUUUGUUAUAAAGUCUCCAUUGAAAACCCUAACUUUUGGAAGACAAGAAAGAAGGGAGAGAGCCACCGUUUUUAGUGAGAAAGAAGAGAAGAGAGAAAAAUGCAAGUUUUUCUCAUCAGGCCCAGAUUUCAUCAAAGGUCUGAUCCCACUUUGUCCGUGGUCCGAUCGAGCUGAAAUUUGGAGGAGAGUUUCGUGACUCAUUUAUCUUCAAUCUGAACGGUGAAGAUCGGAUUUGGAGUUUCGGAAAGUCAUUAGAAAGAAAGAGGAGAAGAGAGAAAAACGUAGGUUUUUCUCAUCAUGCCCAGAUUUUAUCAAAUGUCCGAUCCCGCUUCGUCCGUGGUCCGAUCGAGUUGAAAUUUGAAGGAGAGGUUUGUGGCUCAUGUAUCUUCAAUAUGAACGGUGGAGAUCUGAUUUGGAGUUUCGGACAGUCAUUAGAGAGAAAGAGGAGAAGAGAGAAAAACUUAGGUUUUUCUCAUCGUGCCCAGAUUUCAUCAAAUGUCUGAUCCCGCUUCGUCCGUGGUCCGAUCGAGUUGAAAUUUGAAGGAGAGGUUCGUGGCUCAUGUAUAUUCAAUAUGAACGGUGGAGAUCGGAUUUGGAGUUUUGGACAGUCAUUAGAGAGAAAGAGGAGAAGAGAGAAAAACAGUGGUUUUUUUAUAUCAUGCCCAGAUUUCAUCAAAGGUUCAAUGCCGCUUUUUUCAUGGUCUGAUUGAGCUGAAAUUUGGAGGAGAGGUUCAUAAGUCAUUAAUCUUAAAUUUGAACGGUGAAGAUCGGAUUUAGAGUUUUGGAAAGUCAUCUUUCAGCCAAAAACAAAACCUUUAUUUUAUCAAAGAUGGCGCUUCCUGAAAGUGUCAUUGUUGCCUAAGACAUACAAUGACAGAGGCGAAGAGGACGCUUUAGAGAAGCGUCAUCUGUUACCUUUCUUGACGCUUAAAAAACGUCAUAGUUUCCCAUUUUUCUUGUAGUGUAUUCUCUUUUGUAAGCUUCUGCCAAUUGAAUAAGCUUCAAGAGUUAGAUCUUUCUUACAACUUAUUCCAAGGGAUCCUUCCUCCAUGUUUGAAUAAUUUGACAUCUUUGAGGUUAUUGGAUCUCUCUUCCAACCUAUUCUCCGAAAAUCUUUCUUCCCCUCUGUUACCUAAUCUCACAUCCCUGGAGUACAUCGAUCUCAGUUACAAUCAUUUUGAGGGUUCAUUCUCUUUCAGCUCUUUUACUAAUCACUCCAACCUUCAAGUGGUCAAACUUGGAAGGAAUAACAACAAGUUUGAGGUAGAAACUGAAUAUCCAGUUGGUUGGGUUCCCCUGUUUCUGUUGAAAGCUCUUAUCCUAUCCAACUGUAAGCUCAUCGGUGAUCCUGGUUUCCUUCGACACCAAUUAAGAUUAACCGUGGUUGAUCUCUCCCAUAAUAAUUAGACUGGAAGUUUCCCCAUUUGGCUGCUUGAUAACAAUACAAGACUAGGAUCUCUAGUUCUGAGGAAUAACUCUUUAAUGGGUCAACUACUUCCCCUGAGACCUAAUAGUCGUAUCACUUUAUUGGAUAUCUCAGACAACCGACUUCAUGGGGAACUUCAACAAAAUGUGGCCAAUAUGAUUCCAAAUAUUGAGUUUCUAAAUUUAUCCAACAAUGGUUUUGAAGGUAUUCUCCCAUCCUCAAUAGCCGAAAUGAGUUCCUUACAGUCAUUAUAUUUGUCUGCUAAUAGUUUCUCAGGGGAAGUACCAAAACAAUUGCUUGCGGCAAAAUAUUUGUGGCUUCUGAAAUUAUCAAAUUAUAAAUUUCAUGGCGAAAUAUUUUCAAGGGACUUUAACUUGACUCAGUUAGGGUUUUUGCAUUUGGACAAUAAUCAGUUCAAGGGAACACUGUCAAAUGUAAUCUCCAGAAUCUCUAGGUUAUGGGUGUUGGAUAGGUAACAUGACCGAUUUGACUACACUGGUGUUGGGCAACAAUAGUUUUAAAGGCAAAUUACCACCUGAGAUUUCUCAAUUGUUGGGGAUGAUAUUUCUUGACGUUUCUCAAAACGCUCUUUUAGGAUCUCUUCCUUCUUUGAAGAGCCUGGAGUAUUUAGAUACCCAGAGAUUGAUACCCAGAGAUUUUCUCAAUUCCUCAUAUCUAUUGACUUUGGAUAUCAGAGACAACAGGUUAUUUGGAAGUAUUCCCUAUUCAAUCUCUAGACUUUUAGAGCUAAGAGGAAACCUUUUAAGUGAUUUCAUUCCAUAUCAGCUUUGUCAUUUGACUAAAAUAAGCUUGAUGGAUAUUUCAAACAACAAUUUUUCUGGGUCAAUUCCCGGAUGCUUUGGUCAUAUCGGAUUUGGAGAUUUCAAAACUGAGCACAAUGUGUAUAUACCGAUGUUGGAUUCGUAUUCAGAAAGCAAUCCUUCUAUAUAUACGGGUUACUUAAUAAAAUAUUUAUUUUUCUCUAGUGAACUCCCUGAUGAAGUAGAUGAAGUUGAGUUUGUUACCAAGAAUAGGUAUAGCUCCUACAGAGUAGAUAAAAAUAUUUGUUGGGAAUUUAGAUAUUUUUAUAGGAAAGUAGACAAGUAUUCUAAUUUAUAAAAACAAUGCAUUUCUUUAGUUUGGUAUAAAAAAAAAUGAAACGAUAGGUAUUGGUAUUUUUUUUAAAGCAACAAACGUUUUAUUUUAUUUGUAUUUAAGAACAAUGUCUUUUCUUAUACUAGUUAUUUUAAUUUUCUUUUGACAGAUUUUGCAAGCUUAAGCAAUUUGGAGAUACUAGAUUUGAGUUCUAAUUCCUUAAGUGGGAUUAUUCCAUCAUCUAUAAGAUUGAUGUCUCAUCUCAAGUCUUUAUCCUUGGCCGGAAAUCAGCUCAAUGGUUCUUUACAAAAUCAAGGUACAUAUGUUAUGAUUUGUUUGUUUCAUAUGGAUUAGAGAAGAUGAAUAUUGUAAAAAAAAAGUUGUAGUUAAUGUAAGCUAGAAAUAAGUAUCUUGCCUUAUAAAUUAUAUGAGCAUGUGUUUGUUCUUAAUGAAUCUUUACAACAUUUAGAGUUACCAAUGUUUAUAAUUCAUAAAGACCUCAUUAACCGUGAGUAACAACUAAUUGUAAGUAAUUGUGGAAAAAGUAAGGAAAACAAAAUGAGGGAAAAGCAAGGAAUUAGGAAAUUAUUUUGUUCCCAUUAAAAAAUGCUAAGGAAGAAAAAGGUAAAAGAAAGUUUAAAAAAAGUGUAUUUUUCAAAAAUUUAUUUCUCUUUCCUUUAAUUUUGCUAUGGACAACCAAACAAGAAAAUUAUUUUAUAAUUCCUUUUUUAUUUUUUUCAUUCUCUCUCUCUUUUUUCCCCUACUCUAUUUCUUUUCCCUCAAACUUUCUUGGUAGUAAACACAACCUAAGAUAAAAUGGGGAAGAAAAUUUUCAGUUUUUUUUUUAUUUUUUUAGAAUGUUUUCUUACUUUUUAGUAUUUUAUGCAAAUAUAGGAAAAUUAUUUUUUUUUCUUUUUUUUUCUUGCUCCUUUUCGGACAUGAAUCACACUUUAAAAGAAAAUUAAUUUUUAAUUAGGAGUUAAGAUAAAUUUAAGGAGAAACAGUGAAUCACGAAUAACAAAAAAAUAAGGAAAUUGAAUUUUUGAAAGUAAGUAUAAUCAAAUUGCUUCAUUUGAUACAAAAUUUGAAUAAAAAUUCUUUCAAGGAAAGGAAAAAACAUUUUUGUCUCUAGAUUAUAAUACUAAAUCAUGUAAAAAAUCUCUUAACAUCAUUUAUAUUCAUAUUUAUUUUUGUAGAUUUGAAAAAUUCAACAAUUUGGAAUAAACUUAUUCAAUGAAUAAUAAUUUUUAGAUUUAAAGAUUAUUAUUUAAGAUCAUAAAUAUUACCAUGAUUGUUGAUGUCUAAGAAGAUCAUAUUCAACAAUUUUUUUAAUAUGUUGUUUUUUUAUGGUAAUUAAUUGAUGUCUUGUAAUUUUUAAUAUUUAAUGAAAAACAUUAUUUUAAUUCAUCUAGAGCUCUUAAUUCAUGAAGACCUCAUUAAUGGUGAGUAAUAGUUGGCUGUAAGUUUGGAGUCAAAGACAUGUCAAGGAGAUGAUUAGUUACAUGUCUUAUUCUCUUUUGUAGGUUUCUGUCAAUUGAAUAAGCUUCAAGAGUUAGAUCUUUCUUACAACUUAUUCCAAGGGAUCCUUCCUCCAUGUUUGAAUAAUUUGACAUCUCUAAGGUUAUUGGAUCUCUCUGUCAACCUAUUCUCCGGAAAUCUUUCUUCUCCUUUAUUACCUAAUCUCACAUCCCUGGAGUACAUCGAUCUCAGUUACAAUCAGUUUGAGGGUUCAUUCUCUUUCAGCUCUUUUGCUAAUCACUCAAAGCUUCAAAUGGUCAAACUUGGAAUGAAUAACAACAAAUUUGAGGUAGAAACUGAAUAUCCAAUUGGUUGGGUUCCCUUGUUUCAAUUGAAGGCUCUUUCGCUAGACAGCUGUAAGCUCACCGGCGACCUUCCUAGUUUUCUUCAAUACCAAUUCAGGUUAGUGGGGGUUGAUCUCUCACAUAAUAACUUGACAGGAAGUUUUCCCAAUUGGCUGCUUGAAAACAAUACGAGACUAAAAUCUCUAGUUCUGAGGAAUAACUCUUUAAUGGGUCAAUUACUUCCCUUGGAACGUAAUACCCGUAUCCAUUCAUUGGAUAUCUCACACAAUCAGUUGGAUGGACAACUUCAAGAAAAUGUGGCCCAUAUGAUUCCAAAUAUGAAAUAUCUAAAUUUAUCCGACAAUGGUUUUGAGGGUAUUCUCCCAUCCUCAAUAGUUGAACUAAGAGCCUUAUGGUAUUUGGAUUUGUCUACCAAUAAUUUCUCUGGAGAAGUACCAAAGCAAUUGCUUGCAGCAAAAGAUUUGGGGGUUUUGAAAUUAUCAAAUAAUAAAUUUCAUGGUGAAAUAUUUUCAAGGGACUUUAACUUGAUUAGGUUGGAAGUUUUGUAUUUGGGCAAUAAUCAGUUGACGGGAACUCUGUCAAAUGUAAUCUCUAAAAGCUCUUGGUUGGGGGUGUUGGAUGUGAGCAACAACUACAUGUCAGGUGAAAUUCCAAGCCAGAUAGGUAACAUGACCUAUUUGACUACACUGGUGUUGGGCAACAAUAGUUUUAAAGGCAAAUUACCACCCGAGAUUUCUCAAUUGUGGGGUUUGGAGUUUCUUGACGUUUCUCAAAAUGCUCUUUCAGGAUCUCUUCCUUGUUUGAAGACCAUGGAGAGUUUAAAGCAUCUACAUUUGCAAGGGAACAUGUUUACAGGAUUAAUACCCAGAGAUUUUCUCAAUUCCUCACAUUUAUUGACUUUGGAUAUGCGAGAUAACAGGUUAUUUGGAAGUAUUCCCAAUUCAAUCUCUGCACUUUUGAAGCAGCUAAGGAUUUUUUUGCUGGGAGGAAACCUUUUAAGUGGUUUUAUUCCAAAUCAUCUUUGUCAUUUGACUGAAAUAAGCUUGAUGGAUCUUUCAAACAACUCUUUUUCAGGGCCAAUUCCCAAAUGCUUUGGCCAUAUCCGAUUUGGGGAGAUGAAAAAGGAAGACAACGUGUUUGGACAGUUCAUUGAAAUUAGGUAUGGAAUGGAUUCUCAUCUUGUAUAUGCAGGUUACUUGGUGAAAUAUUGGGAGGACUUAAGUUCAGUAUAUAAGGGAAAAGAUGAAGUUGAGUUUGUGACCAAGAACAGGCGUGACUUCUACAGAGGUGGCAUCCUUGAAUUCAUGUCUGGAUUGGACUUAUCAUGUAACAACUUGACAGGCGAAAUACCUCAUGAACUUGGAAUGCUAAGUUGGAUUCGUGCAUUGAACUUGUCUCACAAUCAAUUGAAUGGCUCCAUUCCAAAGAGUUUCUCCGAUCUUUCUCAAAUAGAGAGCUUAGACCUUUCUUAUAAUAAAUUGGGUGGAGAAAUUCCUCUAGAGCUAGUUGAACUCAAUUUUUUAGCGGUGUUUAGUGUGGCUUACAACAACAUCUCUGGUAGAGUUCCAAAUGCCAAAGCACAAUUUGCAACAUUUGAUGAAAGCAGCUAUGAAGGUAAUCCUUUCCUUUGUGGGGAACUAUUAAAGAGGAAAUGCAACACAAGUAUUGAGUCACCAUGCGCACCAUCACAGUCUUUUGAAAGUGAGACAAAAUGGUAUGAUAUCAAUCAUGUUGUUUUCUUUGCAAGUUUUACUACUUCAUAUAUCAUGAUCUUGUUAGGAUUUGUUACCAUCCUUUACAUCAAUCCUUAUUGGCGUCAUAGAUGGUUCAAUUUUAUUGAGGAAUGUGUAUAUUCCUGCUAUUAUUUUGUUUUUGAUAGUCUUUCCAAGUUCUCAGCAUAUUUGUAUAAUUAGAUACUUUUAAUUGGAUGAUGUUUGCAUAAUUAACUACUAUUUGUUUCCAUGGGAUAAAAAGAAAUGGGAUUAUAAUUGCUAUGAGUUGAAACUUACAUACUUUGCUCAAAUUCUAACAUCUUUUGAUUUUAUUUUCAAGUUCCGUUAUUUAUUAUGUAUUGUUUAAUUCAAGAUUUAACCAUAUUAUGCUACUCUUAUAAAAACAAAUUCAAAUUUUUAGGAACUUAGCAUUAAAAUAAUUUCAUAGUCAGAUUUUUAAAAAUAAAGAAGAAAGAAAAUAAUAAAUAAUUAGAAAAACAAUUCAAGGGAGUAUUAAAUUAUUAUCUUAGAAUUGUUUGGCGUAGUAUGGGAAUUCAAAAAUAAUCUUUCAAUUUGUUAGAAAUGUUUAUUUAUUUAUUAUAGCAAUGAUUGAAAUAUCAAUCACAAAGUAAUGUUUUCUUUUCUUUUGUAGGGCACUAACAUUUUUUCUUUGAUUGUAAUAAUUGAUAAAUAUAUUACACAAUUAUUUGUUUUAAAGAGGGGAGGGAUGACAAACAUAAUAACAUGUGAAAUAUUUCUAAAACUGUGAUGGGAAAUAAACCAUCUAAUUAGGGUGCAAUAUUAUUCAUUUUAAUUUAUAUGAAUUUACUUAUUUUUAUUUCCAUCAUAUUUUGAACUAUUUUUUGAAAUUAAGGGAGAUUAAAACAUCAUGAAUUUCUUAGUUUAAUUUAUAUUUUUAAUAAUAAAGCAUGAAAUAUUUAAAAAAAAAAAAGAAAAUCAUGAAUUUCUUUAAUUCCUUAGGAAACCAAUAUAUAAAAAAAGUUGAAUAUAUUAUUAUUUUAUAUCCUAAAUUUCUAAAUUUGUUCAUCACGUAUUUAUUUUUAUAUUAAAUUUAUUAUCAAUAAUUAUUUAUUAUAUAUUAUUAUUUUAUAUUUAAAAAUGUUCAUAAAUAAUUAAAAUUAAUAAAUAUAAAAAAUGAAAUAUUAAAAAAUUAAAUUAAAAAGAUUUCAUCAAGCUAACAUAUUUUGAUAAAAAAAAAAAGAGUAAAAAAGAAGAUGGGGAUAUUAUAGAGGUGGGGAAAAAGAUAAAAGAAAAAUCAUGUGGUAUAAUAAUUGCCACGUGUUAAAGUUAUUUUCUUUAAAAAUUAAUUAUAGUAAUGAUGAACUCAUUUGUCUUAUCAAAGUAAAUAAAAAUAAAUAAAUAAAAGAAAAAAAGAAAAAGAAAAAAAGUGGUGGUUGAUUGGAGGUUAGAGAGGAGGGUUUGAAGGUAAAUUUGGAAUAUUGAUUAUUUUCACUAAGUAGAUAUUUUGAAAGUUAUUUUCAAUGUUUUAAAAACCGGACCGGCCGGUCCGACCGGUCCAACCGUCGACCGGUCACCAUUCCGGUCCGAUCCGGUCAUUUGGACCGGAUUGAGAUCGAACCGGAGUUGAACCGCUCGAACCAGCGGUUCAACCGCUGAACCGGACAAACCGAUCGGUUCCAAGGGAACCGGCCAAUUCAAAUAAUUUUAAUUUUAAAAAAAAAAUUACACAAUAAAAAUAUUACUGUGGGUAAGCUGCAAGCAUGAAAGGUAGGAUUCCAUGUUGGGCCUGUCUUGUGACAAGCCCACACACCCACUCCAAUUACCCUGGGCCUCUUUUUUGAGCCCACAAGAUCAUGCCAAGGCUUUGCUGAGGAUGGCUUUUAUAGGAGUCAUUUGACUCCUUGUUCCUCUCAUAUUCCGAUGUGGGAUUGCAUUUUAUCAAUGAAAAAAAACAUAACAAACAUAACAAAACUCCACCAACAGAAUUUGAACCUUGGACCAAUCUUUAACUCUAGUCCACCUAGGAAACCACUCGGCUACAUGUGUUUUAUCAUCUAAUGUGCCAAACAAAAUAAUAUAUAUUAGAUUUUAAAUUUUUUUAUAAUAUUAAAUAAAAAUAAUAUAAUAUUUUUAAAAAUUAUGAAAUUAGUUUAAAUUUUCAUUUUUUUUAUAUUCACAUUUAAAUAUUAUACAUAUUUCAUUUAAUAAAAUUUAAAAUAUUAAUAUGAUUUAAUUUGAUAAUAUCAAAGAUAUAAAAUAAUAUUAUUGAUGUUUAAUUUAUUCAUAUAUAUUUUAAAAUUUUUUAUAAUUAUUUUUAAUUUUAAUAAUAUAUAAAUUAUAUAUUUAUUACGUCACCGGUUCGAUAGCGGUUCGACCGCCGGUCCGACCAGUGAACCGUGAACCGGUAACUUUUCCAGUUCGAUCACCGGUCCGAUUCUGAAAACAUUGGUUAUUUUGCCUGAAACCCAUAUUGUUUGAAAAUAAAAAAUCAAAGUUUUAAAAAAAUACAAUUUUUUUGAAAUGAUGCAUGAUUAUAUCAUUCCCCUAAUAGAUUAUUUAUUCCUUUAAACUUUACUUCAAAUAAAAUAGUUUUAAUUAUUUUCUUUUUGGAAUUAUAUUUAACAUAUUAUUAAAAAUAUAAAAAACAUUUUAAUAAUAUUGUUAAUGAGUUUAUAUAUAUAUAUAUAUAUUGUAAAAUAAUUAAAUUUAAAAAUAUUUAAAUUUAGUUAUGGGCUGCCCAUUUCAAAAUAAUAAGAAUCUCGUAACCUAAUUUUUCCAAAUUCCAGGUAAAUAUGCUAAUCUAAAAAUAAAAAAUAAAAAUUAGGUUUUUAUGCUCUCCAAUCUACCACUUAAGCAUCCGACAUGGCUAAAAUAAAUUACAAAAAAAAAAAAAAAAAAAAAAGGAAAAAAAACAAAAGUGUGUGAUCCUCUUUCUCGAGUCUUCACAUUUUGAGACACUGAAACCAAAUCAAAAUUAAUCCUUCAAAUUAAUUUUCACCUCCAAACAUGGCUAUCCGAAAAACCCUAACGUCUGCCUCCUCUUCCUCUUAUCCCGGAAACCUAAAUUCCGUGACCCUAACCCCUUCUCUUUCCGAAAACCCUCCGGAAUCGGAAGAUUCAUAAUUCUUCAGAAUUAAUUUUCACCUCGAAGCCAAACCCUAACUGCCUCAUCUUCCUCUCAUUCAUAUCCCAAAAGUAGCUUCAACAGUCAGGCCUGUAGCCAUGAAAGCCGUAGUGAUCACUACUUCCGGUGAUCCCCAAGUUCUCCAAGUGCAAGAAGUCGAAAACCCUGAAAUUGGAGAUGAUGAAGUUCUAAGUAGAGUGGACGCCGCUGCCAUUAACCGAACAGAUACGCUCCAGAGGAAGGGCUUGCACCCUUCCUCAAAGGCGGCAGUCCCUACCCGGGUCUCGAAUGUUCUGGAAUCAUCGAAGCUGUUGGAAAAGCCGUCGUUCGAUGGAAGGUUGGCGAUCAGGUAUUUCAAUUGCCUAAUAUUUUGAUUUCGUUUCUGUUCCUCUGUUUUUCUCGGCUAUCAAACACUAGGAACGUGUAAAUAAGGAGGUUAGUUGAUUGCGAAAACGGGAAUUUUUUGUUCGUGUCUGUGUUAAGGAGUCUUUGUUGAGAAUUUUGGGGAAAUUUAUGAUAGGUUAAAUUAUUGAGCUUAUUGGUUUUCAAAUUUAUGGUUGUAAGAAAAUUGGUCAGUGUAAGGUUAUGGGUUCAUUACCAAUUUGCUUAGUGAAAAUUUUUCCACAUAUUGUGGACCGGUUUGGUAGCAGAAAUAAGAACUGUGUUUUGUUUUUCAAAACGGAAAUGGAUGCAGAAAACAUGUUUGGUAGCCUACUUUCAGAACUUGUUUCCGAAAAUAUUUCCUGAAAAUGAAUUAUUUCAGAACUUGUUUUUAAAAAAUUCAAACACUUUAUCAAUUUAAAAGGUUCUGAAAUGGACAUGUUCAUGGUCUUCAUUUUUUAAAAUUAAAGCUUUUAUGAAAAAACCAUUUUCCCUUCUACUAAACAAACAGGCUCUAUAUUGUAACAGAUCGAUUGGCCAUUUCCUUUGUCAUGUUUUGUGAAUCAUGGCAACACUGGAAUCCACUCCAUUACCAUCUGUUAGUGAUUAGAAGACAAAGCACCAAUUUUAAUGAUAUCCUUUAUGUGAUUUUGCUUCCUCCUGAGUACAAGUUCAUAAUAUACAUGGUACAUGGUGAAUCUGUAUGACAGUUCAUGGUAUACAGGUGUGUGCUCUUCUUUCUGGUGGAGGGCAUGCUGAAAAAGUGGCUGUUCCAGCUGGGCAAGUUCUCCCUGUCCUAUCUGGUGUUUCUCUGAAGGAUGCUGCUGAGGUUGCAUGUACUGUUUGGUCAACUGUUUUAAUGAUGAGCCGACUGUCUGCAGGAGAAACAUUCCUGGUGAAUUUUUUGUCUUUUUUAUUUUCUGAUGCCUGAUAUAUUUACCAGCACAAAUUUACCCUGUUGCUGUUUAAUGUGUGUGCAUCAAUAUUGGAUUAGGGAGGUAGAAGAGCCAUGGUUCUAAUUAAAUCAUUACAUCAUCAUAUUCUUAUUUAGAUACAUUGUAUCCCACAAUUUCAUUGCAUCCAAGGCUAUGUUGUUUUUUAUUGCACGGUUUGUCAUGGUAAUUUCUCAACCCUUCUCUGGAAAAUUAUGUUGGAUGGCUGCUAUUAAUUACCCCAAAAGAAGAAAUUUUAUGUUGAAGUAAGAUGAGUAGCACAAAGAGUUACUUGUGGUUGAUCCUAUCAUCAAAUGGGCGAUUGAUGCACAAUCCAAAUGGUAAAUUUUUUUCCCCCUUUAUCCAGAUGGAAUUUUUAUGCAUGGUUGAAUAGUGAAAUGAGAGGACUGAUAAUAUUUCAGGUUCAUGGGGGUUCAAUUGGAAUUGGUACCAUCUAUUCAAAUAGCGAAAUACCGAGGAGCAAGGGUAUUUGUUACAGCAGGUUUGCCAUCACUGUUCUACCUCAUCUCACAGAAUGCUUAUCUCAUGGCACCAAUUCCUUUUCUUCACAUGUUUUCAACCAUUUUUUCCACCCAGGAACGAGGAAAAAUUAGCUAUUUGUAAGGAUCAUUGAGCAGAUGUGUGCAUCAAUUACAAGACUGAAAACUUUGUUGCAUGGGUGAAGGAGGAAACAGGAGGGAAAGGUAUAUUCUAUUGUAUCUUAACGAUAAUUUCAAUUGAAGGUGGAAUUGCUUUUUAUUUUUUAGUGCACCAAAUCCACUAGUCUGGAAUGUUUGAAAAGAUAAAUAGUCAUCUUCCACUUGAUUCCGAUUGUGAAGAUCUAACCCCAAAAAUGUUGAAUGACAGGUGUUGAUGUUAUACUGGAUAAUAUUGGAGGGGCCUACUUUUGGGGAGACAUCAAUGGUUUAAAUGUUGAUGGAAGGCUUUUUAUUAUUGGUUUUCAGGGUGGAACAGUGGUACAAGUAAAUCUUUCAGGUUUACUUGCAAGGCGCCUUACAGUGCAAGGUACUGCUUUCUCUGUAGAAGAUUUUUCUGUAGUUUUGGAGUUGAAUCAAUUUGAUUAAUCUCAUCCAAGUUCAGAACUGAGGUGGAUUCUGGCAAGCCAAGGAAAAACCAAAUUACCAUAAAUUCUUUUUUUUUUUUCUGGAUCGUUUUACUUCUUGGAAAUCCUGUUUCUCGAUCUGUUAAUCACAUGGUUUGUUUUUCUUUAUUGUCCCUCUUUCUUUUCUUGUUGGUACCAAAUCCCUAAGAUGUGGAAGCCAAGUGAGCACUUUCUAUCUUUUCUUGUUUCAAUCUCUCAUCCUCUUGUGCACAUUGAGCAAUAAGCUCAUUCAAAGUCCAUUUUUCCUUUUGUGUGUUGUAACUGAUUUUGAAUGGACUGAAUUGUGUAGGCAGAGAGAUCAAGACCAAGUGCACGAGUAUGUCUUCCGAAAACUCUAACUUUAGUGCCUUUAGUCUAGUCACAAGAUUAGACAUUUCCAUAAUAUACUCCCUUAUAUUCUCUUUCCCUUUAUACCGCAUAGAGACAAGCUUACUAAGAAUAGUGUUUGUCUCAACCUUUUCAUUUGCAGCGAUCAAUUUGCUAUCUGGUCUAAGAAUGCCUUGGCUCGAGUUUUCUCAGGUAUUGCACCCCUUAUAACUUUUGGAAUUGAGUGCUUCGUUAUUAUUAGACUCAUGCGAUUGGAUCGCUCCCAUUUUUCCAUAGUAGACCUUUGCUCAGCAGUGCUGGCACUAGUAAGAUCUGGAGGGCGAUCCUCUCUUAAUGCAUAGUCUAAAUCCAUGCACCCGAGCACAAUUAUAGCGUGUUCCUUCCAUUUCUUGAAGUUUGUGCCAUUAAGGGCAGGAAUGUUAUUGACAUUUGCAGAUAUAGAAUAUGUUGAAUUCAUAAUAAUAAAGCUCACAAUCAGCCACAUAAACAUCAUACAUACAUGAAAAAUAACAUCAUACAAGAUACCUAGUACAAACAUUAAUAUUCUGUCUUUUGACAAUAAAUAUUAACUUGUAAUUGGUAUCCUUAUACAAAAUUAAUUCAUAAAUAUUGACAAUAAAACCAAAAACAAUGUGCCUCUCUUUGGACUAACAUAUUGAAUGCAAGAUAAACUUUAUAUGUCACAUAUUUAUGACUACUUUAUUUAUUAUUAUAUUAAAAUAAUCUUUCUUUGGGUCGCUUAUUUUAAAUAAUAAUAAUAACAUGUUUAGAUAUUAUAAAAUAAAUAAAUUAUAUAAUAUAAGUUACUUUGGCAACUAACAUACAUAAUUCAUUUAUUUUUUGUUGUUUCCUUCCUCUUGGAUCUUUUGUUUGUGUUUUAAAAAAAAAAAUGUUUCAGUGAAAAUGGGAAAUGCAACCAGGCUCUAAUACCAUUUUGUGGGACGUUCAUUCUCCAUUAUCAUCGAACACAUGCAGGAUAUAUUUAUAUAUAUCUAUCAAUUCAUUCAAAAUAUGCCGAUGGGAAGCCAGAGAGAACAAGUUCUAUUUUUAUUUUGAAAACAUUGUUAUCCUUAAAGAACAAACACUAUUAUUUGGAUUUAUACUCUCCUGCCUUAGGGACCAUACCCUUUGGCUAUUAGGCCUCACGAGUCUUAGGCCCAUCAUCUAAGGCUCGUGAUGGCACUGGGCUCUACAUAUAAGGUGGCCCAUACUCUGGAACGAAUAUAAAUCAUAUGUAUAUAUAUGGAUAGCUAAAUCCUGAAUAAUGGUUAAUAUGAUGUCGGUUCACAUUUAUUAUAUCAUAUAGACUUCCCAUCUGAAGAAAAUCGACAACAAGUAGCUUUGCCAUUCUUAGUUCGUAUACAACCAACCUUAGCAAGGGUUGAACCCUUUUAUGCUUAGUUGUGCCAUACAGAUCCUUACCACCGCCUACAACAUGUAAUUGAAAUGAUUCGAUAAUAUCAUCUAGUGAACCAAUACCUCCAAAUGAGAGACCAUUGCCUCAGUAACUAAGACUCACGACUGAGAAUUGCGUGAACCCCUUUGCUUGGGUUGGAGCUUGACUGAUGCACAAAAUAUUCAUAGGCCUCUUCCCAUAACAGGCACCUUGUGUUUGCAACAUAAUUGAACAUGUAUUGAAGUGAGUUUUUUUGCAUCUUUUUGUAAGAAAAUUCUAAACAACAAAGAUUGCUUAGUGUGCCUGACUCCUCAAGGAAUCAAGGUUCAUUCCUGUAGGGCCAGUUUUUUCACAGUCGAACUAGAUAACAUGGAGAGUAUGUUGCAAUGCUUCAACGGGGUAUUUCUUAGGAAAAUCCACCUGAAGCUGGUACAAUUCGUUGGCGUACUGAGUUCCUAAAGCUCUAUUGACUUCAAUCACCCAUCUCUGUAGAUUAUCGGUGACUUUAUGCUCGGAUCCUGUAGGAGGAUUGACUUGACAUUCCACUAGUUUUUUCUGGAAGGCGAUUUUGUUUAACACCUUGUGAGAAGAGGCAGGGGAACUGGUCAUUGUUUCUUCGAGAAGAUCAGUGGCCGAGGAUGGGUUUGGACCAGAAUUGCUAUAUGGGUUUUCUUUGGGUGAACCAAUUAGUGAAAUAGGUGGCUAUAUAGCAACUAAAGGGUGGUCAUACUAACGAGGAGCUAUUAUUUCAUGCAUGUGGAGAGGAAAUGACUAGCUUCUUCAAGGAUAUAUGAUUAUUCAUCUCUAGCUUACGUUGACUAUCUCCUAACAAAUUUCUGCUUUGAAGCUCCCUUAGUUUCACUACAGCUAAUUGGCCAACUUGGUUUCAUCAUGUUUCCUACAACCUCUAAGCAAAGCAUGCCAGAUCACCGAAUCAGGUUCUAUUCGCAUUUUGUCCAUAAACUCCUUUGCCUAUUGACAAUAGACUGCCCCUCAAAAUUUGAUGAGAUAACAUCAACGCUGACAUGUUGGCCAUCCCCAUAAGCAUCUUUAUAGAGAUUGAUUCUAUGUUUAGAUAUUUCUCUCUCCUCAAGUGAGUUCAACUUUUCUGUAGCAUCCUUCUCCUUCUCUACUAAUAGUCUUAGUUGAACAUCCAACCUAUGUUCCCAAAGUGCCAGCAUCUCAUAUCUGAUGACAAGCCAACAACCUUGCCCUUGCUGAGACCCAAAUAAGUAUCCAGAACCAUCAACAUCAACCCUUUCAUAGGCCUUUGUAUUUGAAGGUCGGAUUGGGAUUGCUUUGAAUGCACUGGCACUACAAUACACAAUUGUUUCUUCUCCGAUAAAAACACCACAAAGAGGUGAGGGGACUGGUAUUAGCAAAGAAGUGUUGUUAUCUAUAUUGUUCUAAGCCCGAUUACCCUCAACAAAAUCCUCAUCCUCAUCUGUACUCUUCCAUUACAUCCCUAGGCUUUUCAAUGUGAUCCACAUGGCUUACAGGAAUCCAGAAAUACUGAUCUGUAUAAAAGUUGCUCUUAUGGGGCUCUCCUAGAAAACAUCCCAAUCAAGAUGAUCAACCUAGCUUAGAUGCUCAGCACCCCAAACUUACCAGAAAUAGAGGAAUAAAAAGCAAGGAUAGGAGCCAAAGUAAAAACUAAGGGAAGAGCAAAUAGGAAAUCAAGCAAAACAUGAAUGUACAGAGCCUCAUUUCAGGUGACAUCUUUGGGCUAAUAAUAGGUGGAAUUAACAAAGUAGAUAAGCAUGAUUGUUAUAAAUAUCAAGUUCAAGGAUGAAGUCGUGCAUCAGCUACUUAUAGGGGGAGUCAAGGAAACCAAGAUAAGAUCAAAGAGAGCAUGUAUGCAAAUAAACAGAUACGACAAAAUAGACCAAACAACUCGUGAAUAUCCUCCUACAAAAAACUACUACACGUGGCAAAAAGUGAUGAAACAAAAAGAGUUGGGUCCGCAUAUACAUAUCCUAUUCUAUCCUAUUCCUUCAAAUCCAAAGCAACCUGUAUUUUCAAUGGGAUUUGUUGUGAUGAAUUUUACUGGAUUGUAACAUGUAAAUAUGUUAAAAGAGGCUUGGGACAUUCCUAUAUAGUAACGCAUAAAGGUACUUCCAUUGUGAAGUUGUCAAAAUUGCAAAUUUAAAUUACAAAAUUUGAAAACAUAGAGAUGAAAGAUGAUGAAACCUUCUUUGAAAUUUUAUAUUGAACUCAUUAAUAUUAUUAAUUUUCAUUUCAGUCUAGGGGAAAGAAUUCUUUACUCUAAAGUGGUCACAAAAAUAUUAAAAUUCCUUGUCGAGAGAUUUAGACCUAAAGUGAUCAAUAUAGAAGAAAGUAAAAAUAUUCUAAGUGUAGGUAAACUUGUAGACUCAAAUGACUCUACCUUCUCAUAAAAAAUCCUCAAUUUUAUAAAUUAUAUUGAUUUCUUCAUUUGAUACAAAAUUUGAAUAAAGAUUUUUCAAAUGACAACACAAGGAAAGGGAAAAAAAAAUUCUCUCCAAAUCAUAUUAUUUAAUCACUUAAAUUAUUUAAAAAUAAAAAUGUUUACUGCUAACAUUAUUUAGGUUCAUCUUUCUUUUGAUGGAGGUUAAAAUUCAUAAUUUUGAGGAAAAAGAUGAGGAUUCUCAUUUUUUUUCCAUAUAUGAAUGGGAUUCUCAUUGUGUAUAUGUGGGUUACUAAAUGGCAAAUUUGGGGGCCACCAGAGUCUGCAAUAUGAGGGAAAAAUGAAGUUGAGUUUGUCACCAAGAAUAGACAUGGUUCCUACAAAGGUGGCAUCUUUAAUUUCAUGUUUGGAUUGGACUUGUCAUGUAACAACUUAACAAGUGAAAUCCCUCAUGAACUUGGAAUGUUAAGUUUGAUUCAUGCAUUGAACUUGUCUCGUAAUCAACUAAAAGGCUCCAUUUCAAAGAGUUUUUGCAAUCUUUCUCAAAUAGAGAGCUUAGACCUUUUUAAUAAUAAACUAAGUGGAGAAAUUCCUCCAAAAUUGGUUAGACUAAACUUUUUAGCAGUGUUCAAUGUGACUCACAAUAGCAUCUUCGGAAGAGUUUUAGAUAUGAAUACAUAAUUUGCAAAAUUUGAUGAAAGUAACUAUGAAGCUAAUCCUUUCCUUUGUGGACCACCAUUAAAGAGAAAAUGUAGCAUAAAUGUUGUUGAACCACCUUACCAACCAUUAGAGUCUUCGGAAGAAAGUGAUGCAAAAUGGUAUAAUAUCAAUCUUGUUAUUUUCUUUGCAAAUUUUACUACAUCAUAUAUCAUGAUAUUAUUAGGAAUUUCAACCAUUCUUUACAUUAACCCUUAUUGGUGUCAAAGAUGGUUCAAUUUUAUCGAGAAAUAUAUAUACUUUUGCUAUUAUUUUGUUUCCUAUACUCUUUCCAAGUUAUUAACAUAUUUUGAAUAAUUAGAGAUUUUUGUUUUCAAUAAUAUUUACAUAAUUAACUACUAUUGGCUUCCAUGACAUGGAAAGAAAUGCGAUGAAGGCAACAACCACUUUUUUUUCUCCUCUACUAGUGCAUGAUUGAUAUGAGUUAAAACUUGCACCCUUAUCUUUGCUUAAAUUUUCUCAGCUUUUGUUUCAAUUCUUAAUUAUCAUUUCUUUUAUGUAUUGUUUAAUACAAUAUCCUAAACACAUUGCUUUGAAGGUUACUUAUUUAUUAAGCAUGAUAUUGAUUUUCAUAAAAACAAAUUCAAGUUUUUUAGGAAUUUUUAGAAUUAUUAUAAUUUGGAGUUCACAUUAGAGGAAAAAAGGAAAGAAAAGAAUAGAUGAUUAAAAAAACAAUUUUAGUAAGUAUAAUUUGUCAUCUUCGGUAUAACAAAUGGGAAUUCCAAAAUAAUAUUUCAAUUUGUUAGUCUAUUCCUUAUAGUAUUAAUUGAUAUAUCAAAUAGGAAGUCACGUUUUGAUUUUUUAUUAGCUUGAAUUGCAUGUCACAUAUAUUUUAAAAUCAAGCAUACAUCAGCCGGGAAGUUCUUGUAACAUGCAUGAACAUGAUAUGAUGAAUUGAAUAAUUUUCUUAAUAUAUGUGUAUAUACUACACAUUAUUAAAUCAUAUAUGUAUAUUUAUAGUCGUAUAAUAUAUUUAUAUAAGUAACAAUAAAUUAUAUUGUAUAAGGUAUCGGUAGGAGUUUUCAAUUCCCUCAUACAAUAAUAUCUAUCAAUAAUUGGAUUGGACACCUUGCUGGCCAUGAGAAUGGACUUGACAUUAACACAUAGCCUUGAGUGGUGUUGAUAUUAUUACUUUGAACCAGAACUGCAGUCAUCUCAAAAACUAUAUUAUAUAGAAAAGCAAAAUAAAAACAUUAGUUAAAACAAAUGUCAAGAUCCUUGAAAUCACGUUUCAAUAUGUUAAAUUACCAUUUUUUUAAAUAAAUAUUUUAUAGGUUGUGUGAAUAAAUAUAAUUGCUAUGAAGGUUUCAAUUUAAUUUUACUAGCAAAUCCAUAAUAGGUGAAAAGACAAAACUACCAUUUUUGUUUUUUUUUCUUUAUUUACCUUUUUUCUCUCGUAACCUUACUCCUUUCACCUUUUUGUUUUUUCCUUUUUCUCAACUAACUAUUUUUUUCUUGUAAUUGUUAUUAUCAUUUUUUAUUAUAAAUAUUAUAACCUUAUAUUAUAAAUUUUUAAUUAUAUUUAAACUAACUAAUGUUGUGGUUUUAAUUGACAUGGAAAAGAAUGUGGUUAUACAUGUGAUUGUCGCCUUUUUUUUUUUCCAAUUAGUUAACUAUUGAUACAAGUUAAAAGUAAAAAUUGCAAUAUUAUCUUUAUGUCAAUUUCACCGAUCUUUUGUUUUUAUUUUCAUGUAUCAUUCCUUUUUUGGUUAUUUAAUUAAAAGGAUUAAAAAAAAAAAAUCACAUAUUCACAAGAAUAACCUUCAUAUUUUAAAAACAUAAAUUUUUAUAAAAAUACCCUCCAACUAUAAUUUUUAUAUGUCCCUAUUUCAAAUUCAAACACUUCUUUUAAUAAUAAUAAUAAUAAAAAAGGGCAAAAAUGUCAAACUGGGAUUAUAUUUAUAAUUUUCAAUAAUUAGAGGUUGUUUUUCCAAAGUAAAAAUUAUUUUGUUCCUUUGGCACAAAUAUUUCUUUCUUUUUUGUAUUUUUUUAUUCAAAAUAUUAAACACAUUACCCUCAAGGUUACUAUUUAUUAUGAAUGGUGUUUACUUUACAUUACGACAAAUUCAAAUUUUUUAGAAUUUUUUAAUGUUAAAAUAAUUUGGAGCUUAAUAGGGAAAAAAAGAAUAAAUAAUUAGAAAAGCAAUUCAAAAAAAUAAAAUUUAUCCUCUUAAAUUGGUUUUGUGUAAUACUAUAGAAGCCAUUUCUUGAGUUUGAUAUGGUAGAAUUUGGAUUCAUAUUUAUUUUAAAAUCAAGAAAUUCAAGUGUUGGUAGCAUCAAUAGAAUCUUAAAAAAUUUGCAAAAAAAUAUUUAGGUAGAUCACAUUUAAAUAUAACUAAUAGAAUAAAAAAUUAGUAUUAUUAGGAAGACAUGAUCAAUUAAAUCUUUUUUCUUAUCUAUGACACCGACUUUAUUUUUUUACAUAGUCAAUAUAAUUUAUUACAACUUAUAUGUCAUUAAAUUAUACAUGUUUAUAUUAAAUAUAAUAUAAGAUCAUUAAUGGAAUAAUUAUGCAAGUAAUAUAAAUUGUAUAUAAUAUAAAAAAUUUAAAGUCCAUCAAACUAAUGGAAUCUAUUAUAAUAAGUAGACUAGACACCAUGUUGGCCCGAGUUGGAGGCCUAGGCCAGAUUUUAAAGGCUGGGCUUUGAGUUGCCCGUGGGCCUGAGCCAAGGCCUUCUCUUGGUAUCAUCAUUUUGAAGAAAUAAAUUGCUGAUACAGAGAAAAAAACUAUACUAAAUAGAAAAAUAAAUAAAAGCAUUGACUAAAAUGAAGGCCAAGGUCCUUGAAAAAUAAUCUUAAAAUUGUUGCAUAUAUAAUUUCAAUAAUGCAUAAAUAAUUGCAAUAUAUAUGAUGUGAUAAAGAAUUUGGAAUUAAAAGAAGAUUGAUCUAUUUUAAAUGUGGUUGGAAUAUUUCUAAAUUUGUGAUGGGAAGUUAGACAGCCAAUUAGGGAUCCAUAUUAUUUAUUUUCAAUGAUAUGAAUUUAUUUACUUUUAUUAAUAUUCUUAAUGCAACAAUAUAAAAUAUGUCAAUUUUCUAAAAUUAAAAAAGUAAUUGUAAAAGAAAAUUUUUAAUUAUUUUUAUGAAAUUGAGUUUAUUAUAGCAUUUUUCUUUACAUAAAUUUCUUUUUUAUUUUUAUUUUUUUAAAAAUGAGAUAUGAAAAAAAAAGAUCAAUAUUAGUAAAAGUAAAACCCAAUAUAUAAAAAAUAUGAAUAAAUGUUUAUGAAAUAAGAUUUAAAAGUGAGAAGGUAAUAAUUUUUUUCUCUUUUAAUUCCUAUUCAAUUCAUUACAAAAAAUAUUUUUGGUUUUUAUGCUAAAAUUUAUUGUUUAUUAAAAAAUUCUAGUAUAUCUAGCUAUCAUAGAAGAGCUCCAAAAUUUUAUUGUUUAAGAGAAUAUGUGUUGCCACUUUAAAAGAUUUAUAUGCAAAAGGGAUUGAUAUUUUUUUCCUUUGGAUAUGUUUAGUUCCCGGAAAAUUUGAGGGAAAAUGUGAGGGAAGAAAAAUAGAGAAGAAAAGUAUAACGAAAUAAAAAGUGAAGGAAAAUGAAAAAUAGAUUUAAAGUUAACAAAUUAUUUUCAUUGGUUUUUUCAAACUUAUUUUACUUAUUUUAUUCUAUUAAAUAAAGAUUAACUAAUUUUAAUUAUAUUUGGUUUGAUUUUUAUUAUUUUUCAAAGCAAAACCAAAUAUGAAAAAAAAAACAUUUUUUUUUUUUGUUAUUUUUUUCUUUCCUUAUUACUUUUUAGGACUCAAACAUAGCUUUUAGAUUUGGAGCAUGGAAAGAUAAGAGUAUUGAAUAAUGGUUCUAUAUAUGCCCAUGCCCAUGCCCAUGAUACCAUUGAAAAAAAUGGAGAGAGGGUGAAACCUUUACUAGAUGAUAAAUUAUUCUCUUCAAUGGAAAUCAAAUAUAAUUAUUUUUAUCUUGUAUUAAUUGAAUGUUAUACUCCAUAAACUCAAAAUUAAAAUAAAUAAAAAAUUUAAAAACUAGGACAAUCCCAUUUUUUUUCAAUUUCUUAAAAAGAAAUUAAAUUAUAUUUAUUUAUAUCUAUUUUCAUCCCUACCCAACAAAAUAAAAAAAAAUUAACAAGGUGGGACAUGUAUGAGAAAUUCUCACACUAACUCUCACUAGUUUAUUUUUUUUUAAAAAAAAAAAUAAAAUCAAUUUCUUUUAAAAAAAUUAAACUACAUAAAAAAUAAACAAAUUUUACAAUUUUUUUUAAGAAAAGUAAAUUUCUUAUUUUAUAUAUGUUAAAAAUAAAUAUAAUCUUUUAUUUUUUAUAUAUAUAAUCGGGUAAGGUAGAGUGGGACAAAGAAAUAAUCCCCUUCGAUUCCAAUCCGAAUUUUUAAAAUAUAAAAUAAAAAUCUUAAACUCAUCCCUAAUCCAUUUAUUUUUAAUCCUAAACUUGUCUUAUUAAGAAUAAGGCAAAGUGAGUACAUGAAAACACUUCUUUUAUCAUCAUCUCUACAAGUUCUAAUGUUUAGAUUGCAAUCCAUAUCAAAGAUUUAUAAAGAAAGAACAACAAUGAAUUUCAUAAACAUUUGAAAGCAUAAACAAAGUUUUAAAUAAUAUUGCUUGAGGUGCAAAUAUUAUUUGGCGCACAUGUUGAGGGACUUCAACUGGUGUAGUCUAGGUUUUUUACACUAGUAAGUAAUCUUGAAUAUCUAGAGUAACUUGAUCAAAAUCUCUUUAAUUUUAUUUUCUUUGAUGGUUGUAUGAUGAAUUAGAAUGCUUAUAUAACAUGAUUAAAAAUUUUAAGAAAAAAAAACUAAGAAGAAAGAAAGAAGCAUCGAUCUUCCAAAUAUUGCUUCCACUUUAAUAUCUAGUAGGCUCUAAGAAAAGAACUUUAUUCAUGAAUCAUAACCCAAGUCGAAAAUAAAUUGAACCCAUUUUCUAAGUUAAAUUUUGAAUUUUUUACUAGUGAAUGCAAAUUGGGAAAAUGUAUAUAAAUAUAAUCAAACUAGAAUAGUAGAUUAGGUUUGUAGGUGGAGUUUGUUUGAAUUGUUGGAACUUCCAAGUCGUUGUGGGUCUAGUGGUCCCAUAGCUCUCUAUUAAUUUCCACCAUCAAUUUUUUGCAAUAAAGUCAAGUCAUUCCUAACCCUUAUAUUAAGUUGGCCUUAAAAGUCAAGUCAUUGAUCAUAGUUACAUUCAUGAAUCACAACCCAAGUCGAAAAUAAAUUAAACCCAUUUUUCAAGUUCAACUUUGAAUUUUUUAGUAGUAAAUGCAAAUUGGGAAAACAUAUAUAAAUAUAAUUAAACUAAAAUAGUAGAUUAGGUUUGUAGGUGGAGUCUGCUUGAAUUAUUGAAACUUCCAAGUCAUCGUGGGCCCAAUGGUCCCAUAGCUCUCUAUUAAUUUCCACCAUCAAUUUUUUGCAAUAAAGUCAAGUCAUUCUAACCCCUAUAUUAACUUGGCCUUAAAAGUCCAAUCAUUGAUAGCUAAAUCCCAACCCAAGUCAAAAAUAAAUUGAACCCAUUUUCUAAGUUCAACUUUGAAUUUUUUUUAAUUGGAAAAAUGUAUAUAAAUAGAAUUAAACUAGAAUAGUAGAUUAGGUUUGUAGGUGGAGUUUGCUUGAAUUUGUGAAACUUCCAAGUCGUCGUGGGUCUAGUGGUCCCAUAGCUCUCUAUUAAUUUCCACCAUCAAUUUUCUGCAAUAAAGUCAAGUCAUUCCUAACCCCUAUAUUAAGUUGGCCUUAAAAGUCAAGUCAUUGAUCAUAGUUACAUUCAUGAAUCACAACCCAAGUCGAAAAUAAAUUAAACCCAUUUUUCAAGUUCAACUUUGAAUUUUUUACUAGUGAAUGCAAAUUGGGAAAACAUAUAUAAAUAUAAUUAAACUAAAAUAUUAGAUUAGGUUUGUAGGUGGAGUCUACUUGAAUUAUUGAAACUUCCAAGUCAUCGUGGGCCCGGUGGUCCCAUAGCUCUUUAUUAAUUUCCACCAUCAAUUUUUUUGCAAUAAAGUCAAGUCAUUCUAACCCUUAUAUUAAUUUGGCCUUAAAAGUCCAAUCAUUGAUAGCUAAAUCCCAACCCAAGUCAAAAAUAAAUUGAACCCAUUUUCUAAGUUCGACUUUGAAUUUUUUUUAAUUGGAAAAAUGUAUAUAAAUAGAAUUAAACUAGAAUAUUAGAUUAGGUUUGUAGGUGGAGUCUACUUGAAUUUGUGAAACUUCCAAGUCGUUGUGGGUCUAGUGGUCCCAUAGUUCUCUAUUAAUUUCCACCAUCAAUUUUCUGCAAUAAAGUCAAGUCAUUCCUAACCCAUAUAUUAAUUUGGCCUUAAAAGUCCAGUCAUUGAUAGCUACGUUCAUGAAUCCCAACUCAAGUCAAAAAUAAAUUGAACCCAUUUUCUAAGUUCAACUUUGAAUUCUUUUAAUUGGGAAAAUGUAUAUAAAUACAAUUAAACUAGAAUAGUAGAUUAGGUUUGUAGGUGGAGUCUGCUUGAAUUUGUGAAACUUCCAAGUCGUCAUGGGUCUAGUGGUCCCAUAGCUCUUUAUUAAUUUUCACCAUCAAUUUUCUGCAAUAAAGUCAAGUCAUUCCUAAACCAUAUAUUAAUUUGGCCUUAAAAGUCAAGUCAUUGAUAGUUACGUUCAUGAAUCACAACCCAAGUCUAAAAUAAAUUGAACCCAUUUUCCAAGUUCAACUUUGAUUUUUUUACUAGUGAAUGCAAAUUGGGAAAACAUAUAUAAAUAUAAUUAAACUAGUAUAGUAUAUUAGGUUUGUAGGUGGAGUAAGCUUGAAUUGUUGAAACUUUCAAGUCGUCGUGGGUCUAAGGGUCUUAUAGCUCUCUAUUAAUUUCCAUCGUCAAUUUUUAUGAAUUAAGAUUUAAAAGUGAGAAGGGAAUAAAUUUUUUCUUUUUCAAUUCAUUACAAAAAAUAUUUUUGGUUUUUAUGCUAAAAUUUAUUGUUUAUUCAAAAAAUUAAAGUAUAAAAAUAUAAAAAAAAAUAUAUAUCUUGAUAUUAUAGAAGAGCUCCAAAAUUUUUGUGUUUAAGAGAAUAUGUGUUGCCACUUUAGAAGAUUUAUAUACAAAAAGGAUUGAUGUUUCUCCUUUGACUAUGUUUGGUUGCCAAAAAUUUGAGGGAAAGAAAAUAAAAAAAAAUAGUAAAAAAGAAAAAAUGAAGGAAAAUAAAAAAUAGUUUUCAAGUUAAUAAAUUAUUUUUAUAUGUUUUUUCAAACUUAUUUUACUUAUUUUCUUUCAUUAUAUAAAGAUUAAAUAAUUUUAAAAUGCAUAAUUUCUAACUAAUUUUAAUUAUAUUUAAUUUUUCUUUUAUAUUUUUUAGACGGGAUCCGACACAUGAAAAAAUCCUUUUUUUUAGCAUCUUUUUUUCUUUUCUUAUUACUUUCCAAUAACCAAAUAUAACCUUUAGAUUUAGCCUUUAGACUUGGAGUAUGGAAGGAUACUGAGUAUUGAAAGAAGGUUUUGUAUAUGGCCAUGAUACCAUAGAAAAAAUGGGCGAGAGAGAAAAAACCUUUAUUAAAUGAUAAAUUAUUUUACUACUUACUACAUAAAUAGAUAUUCAUGGAGUGCAUUCUCUAAAAAGCUCCAGUCUCAUGAAAAUGGAAAGAUGGACCGGCCAGUGGACCGGUUCGAGUUUGGAUUUAUGGGCUGCCUCAGCCUAACACGCAUGAUAGGCUGUUGCAGGUGAAGAACUAAUUAAUUUAAAGCCUUCUUCUAUCCUCUCCUAUUCCUCUUUCACUCCAAAUUUUCCACAUGAUAAUGACAAUUCUUUUGUUAAAUGGUAAAAAAAAAAAUUUAACAAUUAAUUUAAAAUCAUUUAUAAAAUCAUGAACUUUGGCAUCCUAAUUAAUGCAAUUUAAACUUUUUUUGUUUACAAAUGAAAUAAGAGGCAACAUAUAAACCCAAAAGUUAAUUUUCCUACCAUCUCUAUGCACCAUUUUAGCUUUACUCCAAUAUAUUUUCUAUGAUUAAUUAUUUUCAUUCAAACAAUAAUAUCAAAAUAUUUUAAAAUUAGACAUAUCAUAAUCAAAUAUCAUUAUAUUAUUAUUGAAUAAUAUUUAAUGUAAUUUAAUAAUCAACGUAUACUUAUAGAAUUUAUAUUUUUUAUUAAUGCAUAUAAUAUUAUUAUCAAAUAUGAUAAAUUAUAUAUAUAUAUUUCUUUAACAAAACAACUUUAAAAUAUCUAUUAUACUUUUAAUUUCAUCUCUAAGAGGUUUUUUUUUUUUUCUUUUUUUUUUUUACAUUUUUAUAAGUUUUGAUCAAUUGUAGGCUAACCAAUAUUUUUUUAUCAAAAUAUCCACCAAUAUAUCUCCGAUAUAUUAGAUAUAUCCGUAACAUCGAAAUACCAAUAUAUCCGCGAUUAUCGAUAUUUUUAUCCUUGAGGGAUAACAACUAAUAUAGUUUUUGCACUUAAUGAUAUUCCUCAACAUUUAGAUUGAUUUGACCAAAAUCUUUUUAAUUUUAUUUUCUUUGAUGGUUAUAUGAUGAAUUAGAAUAGUCAUAUAACAUUAACAGAUUUAAGAAAAAAAGGAUAAAAAAGCUCGUAUUUUUCAAAUAUUGGUUUCAACUUUGAAUAUUUUUAUUGGUAAAUGAAAAUUGUGAAAAACCUACUAAUGCUAAUACUUUUCACCACAUAAUUAAAUAUAAUAAACUAGAAUAGUGAUUCAUUGAUGUCUUAUAAAGACACAUGCCUUCUUUGACUUGUUAGUUGAUUUUUGUAGGUGGAGUCCAUUUCCAUUUGAAUUGUUGAAACUUCCAAGUCCUUGUGGGUCUAGUGGUCUCUCUAAUAAUUCCCACCAUUAAUUUUUUGUGAUGAAGUGCAGUCAUUGAUAGCUACUAUAUCAAUUUGCUAUUAAAAGUCAAGUCAUUGAUAACUAAUAUUCAAUCUUUUUCAAUAUGGAAAUUGGAAUCUCUAGCACUACUCUUCUCAUUGUUCAUUUUUAGGUAAUGUGAGAAUGUGUGAACAUAAAUGUCUUCUAAUCAACCAAUUUUUUUGAAAAAAACAUGUACAAAAUUGCAAAACUUGCAAAAUCAAACUUUCUUGUUGAAUAACCAUAGCUUGAUGGUUUUGAAGAAUCAAAGGAUGAAUCAUAAAAGGGUAUUUGAUAAAAAAUAAAAAUUUAAAAAGUUAAAAGACAACUACUCCCUUAAGUGUAAUAAGUGUAUUUGGUAGCACAAAUUUCCUACCACUUAUUAUUUUUUCCUUUCUUAAAAAAUUAUUUACUCUAUUAAAUAAACUAACCUUGGCUUAGCACUUAUAGCAAAAUAGGUUAAGUAGUUUUUAAAAUUUUAUAAUAUUAGAUUUACAUUUUUAUCCUUCAAAAUUUCAUUAAUGCUAGAUUCUUCUAUAUGCUUAACUAAUAAAUAAUUUUUAGCAUUUUUCUUUUCUUAUAAACAUAAAAAAAUAAAAAUAUUAUUAACUUAUUGGUAUAUUUUAAAAUUUUAAUUAGAUUUAAGCUUUUAUUUGUUUGGAUUACCAAUUAUACAUAUAAAUCCUUUGUUAUUAUUGUUAUUAUUGAAAGAAAGGGGUUGAAUAGGUAGUCCCUCAAUCCCCAAAUUAAAUUCUUUAUUGCCUACUUUUGGUUUAUUCCUUUACAUGAAUUCCUUGGUGAGAGUAAACAUUUCAUUAAUAGAUAAAUAAAAUUGAUUCCAUAUCAUAGGGUAUAAUGUGGAAAAAUCACCAGUCUCAUGUGUUCCUUAGUGGAUCCUUUGGAGCCCUAUCAAAGUUUCAUGAUGAAACCAUUGACUUUUGUUUAACCCAAAUGUGCUUUCAAGACAAAUCUUGAAAGAUUUGAGAGAUGGAGGUUCAAGUCUUUUAUGAACGACCAUGUUCUCUUAGGGUUCAUGAAAUUCACACCUUUUGAUAAAUAAAACUUAUCUAUUUAUACGUCUAAAACCCAGUAUUUAUUUAUUUAAUUAUAGAAAGUUUCUUAGUUUUAAAAACAUUUCAAAAAUCAUUUUUAGAAUCAAAUAAGAAUUUUAGAGAUAAACACAAUAUUAAAAUUUAACAAAAACAAAUUUUCGAAUUAAAAACACAAUAUAAACUAAAUUACAAAAUAUAAAGUAAUUUUUACCCUAAUUUCUUGUUGCAAAACCAAAUGGAACACCUAGAAGGGGAGUGAAUGGGUGAUUUUAAAUUUUUUCAAUAAUUAUUUAUAAGUUAUACCCAAUUCUUUUACCCUGCAAGUUGUUAGGGACUAUCAAUUCUUUCAUUUUGGCAAUUCAAACAAUAUAUCAAAUAAUAAAAAGAUAUAAAUAAUGAGACAUAAAUAUUUUUACGUGGAAAACCCCCCACACUAACCAUGGAGAUAAAAAGCCAUGGAGUCUAAGACCUAUUAAUCUAAAUUCACGGUACGAAAUCAAGUUACACAAAUUUAUUUGACAACUUUACCUUAAAGACUUACUCUACAGUACUGACAACUUGAUUCACAUCCACGACGUAGCAACCCUCGAUUACUCCAAUGGAUCACUUCAAGCUUACUAAAAGGAUGAAGGCCUUCAAACCAAGAUUCAAAAAUCAAUUCCUUGAAUGAGAGAUCAGGAAUGGUGUGCCACUUUAGGCUUUCUCUCUAAGAACUCUAAAAUGAUCUCCUCAAUGAAAACCUUUUAAACAAAAUGAGAUAUUUCUCCACAAUCUCUAACCCUCAAGGGGUUAUAAUGAGAUAUUUAUAAGCAACUAAGUUGAAGAGUUUCGGUUUUGGAAGGUUUCUCAAUUGAAUUUGUGUGAAAAACUCGACAGAAUCAACAUGACCGCUCGAGGCAGCACACUUCCCACUUGAGCGUUUCGGGCACUUGAGCGGUAAGGCUUGCUUGAGUUGUCCUAAGCGCUUGAGCAUUCCAGGCUACUUGAGCAAUCUUGCUCUAUUUCAAAAGUUAAUUUUAAACCAUUUUAAGUUCAAAACAAAAUUGAUUCCCUUUAUACCUCAAAGGAGCCUAACUUGCCACAAACCAAACUUUUUUAGAUAUACUUGUGACUUCCUGGUUGGACGAACAACAACUCUUAAUCUUCAAUGGAGAGCAAGUCACUAUCUAAAAAGAUUUAUAUGGUCAAACAUAAAAAAACAAAAAAAUUGCCAACAUAACAACAAGACUCAAUGUCCAUGCAUGGUCACCUGAAAGGUGACUCCGACCACAAUAUAAUGCAUGUUCUCAUAGAACAUGUGAACAAGAUGGGGAUAGGAAGUCCCCUAGAGAGAAAACAGAGUCUCCUAACCCUACUCUUGAAUGAUGAUAGGGAAGACAGUGUCCUGAAAAGCUUAAAGGUUAAUGGCAUGCUCAGGCUCGACACACCGAUAUGUGAAAGAAGCGUAAUAAUGGUCCCGUGCCACCUGGUAGUGAAAGCGCUCAACCGGAAGUGCAUCUAGGUUAAAAAGACCCUAGAGUGGGAUGCCCUAGACGGUUUCAGUGACCUAGGAAAGGUCACCUCCCUUUGACAUCUAUGACUAGCCAUAUCUAAGGUAUAUAAUAUGAAAAAACAAAAGCUAAAGAAAAUCCAGAGAAAAGCUAAACCACUAAAAAUGUUAAACUCAAUGCGUCGAACAAUACUAUACAAAUGGAAAUGAAAAAUAUGAAGCGAACUGACCUCAGAAGACAAAAGGACAGUAACCCAGAGGGCUCGAAGAGGAAUAGGAAAGAUUGAAAUGAAUAUGGCGUGAUGGAUGACCUUUAUAUAGCUUAUAAGAGUGCUUGAUGCAGAUUAGCACUUGAGCGUCAUGACUAACUUAAAUCAAAUUAUUUAUUAAUAUGGAAAUAUUUUAAAAGUUUCAAAGGAAGUAUUCAAUUUAGAACCUUUUUAGAAUUUUUUUGAAAGAAACAAAAAUAAAGCGUGAAAUAUUAUGUGUUAAAGGUGUUAGAAGACAAUAUUGUCUAAUCCAAAGCCUUACACAUUCCUAAAAAAAAAAAAAAAAAAAAAGGAAAAAGAGAGAUAUUAUAUAAGAUUUUGAUCACAUCUAAUAGAAACUAAUAUUUAGCAACAUAUCACCAAGCACUAUCUUAUCAGAAAGCUCUAACAUGUUGGAAAUUUAUGUAAGGUUCCAUAACAGCUAAAAACUUUUUCUGACGACUCGGUAAUGGACCAUUUGCACUUUAACUACAUUAUUGAAUUUAAAUCAUAUUAGAAUUGUAAUUGACUUCUCUUUUGUGAGACUACAUAUCUUGUAGGAUGGGAUAGGUGAUUCAUUUCAUAUAUGAAAUUUACUUAAUUUAGUAAUGCUUCCAAGUUCAUUAUGAAUCUAAUGGUAUCACAACUCCUUUAAUAUUUGUAAUUUUGUAAUCUUUGUUUCAACUUCUCAAGUCUAGUCAUUUUAUUGGCAUAACUAGUUUGCUUCAAUUAUCUCUCAACUUUAUUAUAAAACUAAGGGAAAGGAUUAUCACGCAUUUUAUAUUAACUUAACCAAACAUCUUUAUAUAUCUUACAUAUAUAUAUUUUUUGUAAAUUUAGGAAAAUUUCAUCCAUUAGCCAUAGUAAGUAAGAAUCAAAUAAGGGAUAUGUAAGCCAAUGGUGAUAUUGAUGGCGUCAAAUCAAUGACAUAGUAGAAAAGUGGAUUGUCUAUUUUCAAACCUUUAUAUUUUCAUCCAAUAGUAAAAAGGUUUAGGCAUCACUUGAAAAGUAGUUCGUUUUUUACCUUGGACUAUGAUUUAUGAAUAAAGUUCUUCUGUUGUAUACCUUUUGUGAUGCCCCAAACCUAAUUUAGGGGUAAAAAAAUAAUUUAGAAAAAAAUAAAUAAAAAGUUAAAUAAAUUUAAUUAAGGUAAAAAUGUAUUUUUGUAUUUAAAAUUCCUAGGUAUCAAUUAUAUAUUUCUUGUCUUCUCUAUUCAAAAAACCCUAUUACACAAAAAUCAAAUAUCAGAGAACAUAGGACAACGCAGGGUUGAAGAUUUGGAGGUUUAGGGUUGAAGAUUAGUUUUCCAGGUAAGAUUCUAACCCUUAAAUUAGUAUUUUAGAUUCGUUAAUUAGUUUGAACACUUUAGAUAUUCUUUGAAAAAUCUGAAUCUACGUUAGGGUUUGUUAAUUUAAUUUUUAAAUAAAAAAGAUUCAAAAUUUAUGAACAUAAGUAGAGUUAUUAUUAAAGAUUGAAAUUUUUUGAAUAUUUGAAUUAAAAAUCUAGAAAAAAAAAGAAGAAAAUAAAUUAUAGCUUUGGAUGUGGAAAAAAGUUAAUAUUAAUAAAUAAAUAAAACUUAUGAGUACGGAGGUAGAAAAAUAUGAGAGUUGAAAGCAAAGAAAAAAAAAAGAGAAUAAGGUUUUGUGGUUGUACGUGUCUCCUUAGUGGAAAAAAGAAAUACAAGGUUGUUUGCAAUAGGAUAUGACAAAGAGAGAGAGAUAAAUGCUUAGAUGUUGAUUUUUGUGGGGAAAAAAAGAUUGGGUAAUGUAGGAGAGAAAUAGGUAGCACUUGUAGAGUUGGUGGGGUUGUUGUAAAAGCUCGUAGGGUAAUUGUUAGGUAGUAGUAGGGUAUGAGAUUAAUUGUUAGGAAACAUUAGGACUUGAAAUAAUAAUAAUUGCUUCUAGUAAAAGUUUUAACUUAGUUUAAGUAUAUAAAAGAAAUAGAUGAUUAGAAUAAGAUUUGGAAGGAAUAUGAAUUCAUAAAAAUUUCGAAAUUUACUAAUUUAGAUUAUUAUUUUUUUGGAAGUUGAAUAUAAUAUAGGUGGUAAUAUUAUUAAUAUAGGAAAUGAUUAAGAUUCUCAAACCUACAAUUUUAGAUAAAUAGUUAAUAGUAAUAGUUGAUUUUUUAUUUUUUUUAUUUUUUAUUUUUUAUGUUAUGUUAAGUGAAUAAUGGAUUCUUUGAUUAAUUCUCUAAGGUUUCUAAGUGCUUCUUUAAGAUAAGGGAUAUUAAUACUGAUUUUGUAAAUGAAAAUAUUUCUUUUUAUAAGUUAUUUUAAAUUAUGAAAAAUUUUAUUUUUAUUUAUGCAUGGAUCAAAUAUAUAUUUUUUCAUGAGAAACAUGUUUGGGCAAUUUCUUUGUUUAUAAAUAAAUAAAUAAAAAAUGAGAACUUUGGAAAUAUAAUGUUUUGUUUUGCAAGUUUAAAAUAAUGAAAUAAAGUUUUUGACUCUGGUUUAUAUGACCUUAGUUAAUGGGUUAUAAUUGUUGACAUUUUCAGCUCUCCAAUCAAUGAUUAUAAUUGUUGAGAUUUUCAACCCUAGCCAACGGGUUAUAAUAGUUGACCUUAUAGCCCUAGUCAACAGAUAUAAUUGUUAACCUUUCGUUUUUCCCAUCUUAAAAAGAACAAAUUUAAGGCUAACCAUUUAUUUGUAAAGUCCCACCUAACUAAGUACCAUUUGUUAUUUAAUAACCAGAGUAAAGAUAUUUUGAAUGUAUUUGAUAUGAAAUUAUUUUGAUAUAAAUAUGAAAAUGUUUGGUUGAAAAGUUCAAAUGUUUAAUGCAUGUUGAAUUCAAAAGUUUUUAUGAAAAUGAUUAUAUGUUAUAUCUCCUAUUUGUAAGUUUGAUCCAUAAAACUGUAUUAAUAUUCCUUAUUGGACUUUGAGCUCAUUCCCCUUUGUUGAGAAUUUUUUUUGGUAUUCUCAGUUUGGGCAAGGAGUGAUGACUGGGUUGGGGAAUUUUCUUUACUAUGAUUUUGGUUCAAUCUUUAUUUUGGACAUUGUAAUUUAAUUCCCAUUUAAAUUAUUUGGGUUUGGAGUUAUUUGGACGAUAACACUUUGAUUGAUGUGUUAGUUUUAAAGUUGAGAAUUGAAAAUUAUAGAAUUUAUUUAUCUUUCUACUUUGAAUAGAAAUUUAGUAAUUGGAGAUCAUCCAGUUACAAGAUGAAUAUUAGAUGAAUAUUUGUGUCGUUUCCACAUUGAGUGUUCAGGCUUAGGGUGUGAAAUGACCGUUAUGCCCUUGGAGUGGGUAUAUUGUUUAUUUGAAUUUAAUGGUCCCCGAACUCCUUAAUUACUCAUAACUUUAUAUCACCUUCUCAAAGUUAAGUUGUUUUACAACUACUAUCUAGCUACUUUUCUCUACUAUGACAACUUUAUUACAUAGUGAUUAAUUGAAAGAAUCUACAUGUCUUAUUUCAUAGGAUAGUUGAUUUUUUUACUCAAUGAAUCUUGCUUUUAUUAUUGAAAAUUUCAAAUCAUUGUAGUCCAACAAUUUACUAUCCUUUGGUAAUUUCAUAUUACAUUUCCAAAGUCUAAUCAUUUAAAAACACUUGUAGUUAAUAUAUUGGCAAUUGCAUUGUGGGAAGUUGUUCACUUGAUUUUAAUGUUGAAACUUUCAAAUUGUUGUAGUCCAACAAUUCCCUAUCCAUUGGUAAUUUCAUAUCACAUUUUCAAAGUAUAAUCAUUUACAAAUACUUGUAUAUAGUAUAUUUGGUGAUUGUAGAGUGGAAAGUUGAUCGUUUUCAUGAAGACCUCUAAAAUAGAAAUUUUUUUCAUUCCAUUUAAUAAAGAAUUUCAUUAAUUGAACAUAUAUGUUUUUUUAACCGGAAAGUAGAGGCCACAUUAUACGAGGCCUUAGGUGACAAUACUAGGUGAGGGUUUUUUUUUUUAAUUUAUUUAUUACUAAAUAUAAAUAAUAUUAUUUAUUGUAUAAUAAAGAUUAUUAUAAUAUAUUUUUUAUAGAUGAAAAAAAUAUUAAUUGAGUUUUAUUUUUUUAAAAUAAUUGUUUUCAAUAAAUAACUUAUUUGUAAAAAGAAAACUAUAAAAUAUAUGCAUUUGAAAAAUAUUUAAUUUUUAUUUGAUUUAGUAUCAAUUAAUAUUUGUAAUAUUUUUUAAUAUUAUAGAAGUUAACAUACUCAAUCAAGAUAUUCAAGAUCAAGAGAAUAUUUAAGAUUGAAUUAAUUUCUUUAUUGUUUAUGUUUUAGUAAAUUUUUAUAUCCAUUACAAAUUUUUUAUUGUUUAUUUUUCAUUCAAUGUUUGCAUUUUUUAAUAGAUAUUAAAACGAUUUUUUUUCUUGUAUGUUAAAAAAAUAUUUCAAUGUCUUUAAAAAUAAAAUAUUGCAGUAAAAUCAAAAUUACAUUGUGAAACUUUAAGCGAAUGUUUUAUACUUAAGAAGUGCCAAUUAAAGUAAGCAUGCAUCUACAAUUGUAAUUUAGAUGUCAUACUGAAACAAUAGUUCUCUUUGACUAUAUCAUAAAAUUUGGUUCGAAUUACUUUAAGUCGUCUUGUAGAUUUUCAAGUUCCAAUGAUAUGCAUCAAGUAUGUGCAACAUACUUGAUAUAACUAAUAUUUUCUUAAGUAAUUGGACACUUUUUUCUAUAAAUUUACUUGAUUAUCAAUGAAUACUUUUAUGUAAGGUAUUGAUAUAAUUCGAUAAAUAUUUUAAAAUAGUAUUAGAAUAGCUUUGCUCUUUCCCAAUUAACAAAUUUACUAAAUUAACUUAUAUAUAUUUGUUUAUUUGAAUUUACUGGUAUUUGACUCAAAUUGUUAUUAUUUUUAAAAUUAUAGGAAAACCAUUAUUUAUAGAGUUUAAUUAUAUUUGGUAAAUUAUCUUUUUAAGUUUGGCUAGGAUUAGGAAACUAUUAAUUUAAGAUUAAUCCAUAAGGCUCUAUAAAUUUGCAGUUUUAUUUAGGAUUUAAAAAAAGAAAGAAAAAGUAAGAAAAAGUGAAGAGAGAUAGGCAAAGAGUGCAUUGGGUUUUAAAUAAAGAAAGGUUGAGAGAGUUUUGAUUACUACUCAAAAAGAACAUAUUUUAGAUAGUAAUUCUCAUGGGUUUCACAUCUUUUGAGUAUUAAUUAUGCCUAAAAAUGCUCAAUUAACAUGUUGUUGCCUUUGCAAGAGUUACUAACAAGUUUUAUAAAGUUUUGGAGUCAUUUCAAGUUAUGAUUUUAAUAAAUUGGUGACGAAAGAGAUGAAUUGAUUUGAAGAAGGCAAAUAAUAUUGAUGAUGAUCCAAAUGCAUAAUGAAAGAAGCAAUAUAAUUAGUUUGAUCGGGAUUUGCUGCUAAUUUGGAGGUAGUUAAGGUGGAGUCAAAAGAAGAAAAUGGAAGAAAUGACAAAGAGGAGCUUAAAAACCAAAUGUUGCAGAUUUGUAUGAUCAUGCAAAAAUUACAUGACUAUGCGAAAUGGAUUAGAGAAGGAAAAUUGACUAUAGUAUAAGGAGGAUGCUUAAGUUGAUUUCGCAUGAACAUGCGAAAAUUUUGCACAAUCAUGCGAAAUGGUCCAGAAAGCUCUCUAAUGUUGUUGUUGCUCCACUAAUUUCACACCACCAUGCGAAAUUGAUCUUUUCAUGCAAAAUGGCUGAAGCUCAUGUGAAAUCAUGAUUUUGAUGCUAAACUCUAGAUUUGUGAAUUUGGAAGGUUUUAGAAGAUCAAUGAGAAGUUGCCAAGUGUCCACUUGACCUUGGUCUAUAAAUAGAAACUUGAAUUUCCCAUGUAAAGAGCUUUGUGAUACUUUUGAUUUUAGAUUUUUCUAGGAACUCUUUCUCUAAAUAGAAUUCUAUAUUUUCUUUAAUUUUCUCUCAUUUUCUCAUUCGCCAAACAUGCCUAGUGAGACCAAAUCUCCAAGUAUGAGUGGCUAAAUCUCGUUUUUCUCAAAGGAAUGAGGAUCUAGAGUCAAGAUCUAUGGUGAAUUAUAGAAAUGAGUUUUAAUCGGAAAUGCAAUUUGAUUCAAUUGAUUGAUUAAUUGAAAUUUGAGGAUUUUUCUCUUCAAAUUAUCCUAAAUGACUAUUACAUUGCAAACUAGGUAGAUUCAUUAAAUUCUUAAAGCUAGAUUUAAUGAGACUGAAUAGUUGCAUUGUAUGAAUCAUUGGAAGAUAAUUUAAGAUGAAUUGAAUAUAUAAUUUAAAUUGAUCUCUUGGAUUAAAUAACCUAAUUUGAAGAGAAAUUAGGUUUAGACUUAAAGGUAAAUCUAAAAUCGAUUUAGAUAAGAAUUUAGGUUUUCAAUCUAACUUGAUGAAAAAUAAAUCUCAACAUCUAUUCACCAUGGAAAUUGUUUUCUAAAAAAUAUUAACUCCGAGAAUUCCUUUUCCUUAUCAAUUUUCUUAUAUUCUACAUUAUAUUGUUCUUUUCGAUUAGAAAUCAUUGUUAUUUUGAUUUUUCAUGAAUUGUCAAAUCAAUUUCACUUGACCAUAAUCAUUUCUUUUCCUCCCAUUUAAGCCUUAAUUAUCGAGAAUAAUCCAUCCCAAUAGAAGACACCUAAGACCACUAUACUACCGUAGCUUUUGCUAAAAAACCUUUUUGAUCGGGCAAGAGUUACCUUAGCAUAGUUGAAUUAGGUUAUAAUUUUUUUAUCCAAUAAACAACAAAAAAAAUCAAUCGAUCAAGUUUGCAUUGUGUAUUCUUGAAUUUUAUUAAUAAAUUUGAUCCCCCUUUUUGAAGCGAUUACACCAAACCAAGUAAAUAUUUUAUAUACUUCAUUUGCUUUAUUUUUUCUAUUAAGUUUAGGUGUUGCAAUUUUCAAGAGUCAUGGUGAGAAGAUUGUGGGAAAAAUUAUUUUAAGGAUGGAGUCGAACAUAAAAUAUGAAAUUGAGUCCUUUGAUGGAAAUAAUAAUUUUAAUAUUUGAUAGAGUAUUAUUAAAGAUGUUUUGAUACAACAAAGACUUCUCAAAGCAUUACAAGGCAAAAAAACUAGAGAGCAUGACAAAUAAAGAAAUGAAAGAAUUAGAAGCAAGAGUUGUAAGUACUAUUUGUUUAAGUCUUAAAAAUGAAAUACAUUGUUUUGAAUGAAAAAAAUAUUCUUUUAGGGGUGUCAAUUGCUCUUUUAGAGACCAAAAAUAUUAAGCAGUCAAGUAGUUCAUCUCAUAUUGGACAAACUGUUAUGAUGAAUUCUAAACCACAUCAUCAUAGGAGUAAAUCGAAAGAAAGUAUCUGAUAGGAGGAUGAUCAUUCCAUUCACACUUAUGGAGGAAUAUGAAGUAUUAUUACUGUGAAAAAAAAAACAUAUCAGGAGAUAUUGUAAAGAAUUGAUGAAGUACCUAGAAGAAAUGAAAAUUUUUAAAUCCCAAGAGACUUCAAAUUUUACUAAUAUUGUUGAUGAAAAUUUUGAAAUAUUGUAGUAAAUUAAAAGUUACAUUAUGGGACUUUUAGUGAGUGUUUUAUGUUGAAGAAAGGCUAAUUAAAGUAAACAUGCAUCUAAAACUAUAAUUUAGAUGUUGUACUCAAAUAGUUGCUCUCCUCGAUUAUAUCAUAAAAUUUGGUUUGAAGUCUAAGUCAUCUAAUAAUUUUCUAAUUCAAAUUGCAUGCAUCAAACAUGUGUGUUAGGAAGUGUUGCAAAUUACUAAUUAAUAUAGAUUCUUUUUUUUUUUAAAGAAUAUUGUAUUGAAUAUUUCUAGGUUGAUAUAUUAUUGUAAUAUUAGACUUUCUUAUAGAAUAAGGAAGGUUGUUGAAAAUAUCCCUAUAAAUAUUCUAGUUCAUAAGGGGAAAAAGUUAUGAGAUGAAGAUGGACCCAUAAAGACUAUACAAGGUGGAUAGAGACGUGAAGAAAAACGAGAGGUACCCGGUGGAGCGAGAGGGCUCGUGGUAGGGUAUAGGUACAAAGAGUGAGAAAACAUGGGAUGUUUUGGGAACCCAAUAAUUGUAUCUGGUUAUGUCCUCUAUAAGUUCUAGUCCUGUCAUCUGCAUUGUUCUCUAUUUUAUAGUGGAAUGAUUCUCUUUUAUCUGUGGACGUGGGCAUGGUUUUCGAACCAUGUUAAAACCUUGUGUACCGUUUGUGUUGAUUUUUUUUUUUAUCUUUAUUUUAUUGAUUAAUGAAGUUUGCAUCAAAGCUUCUGUCAACGUAACAAACUUGUAUCAAAGCUUGGGUUAAAGAUUUCUAGAAGAGUAAAAGAUCAUAGAGCACACAAGAUGAAAACAAAAGGAAUUUUUAGUGAAAAUGGAGUCAAUUGCUCUCUCAUGGUGAUAUGAUAUAAAAAGUUUGUGUCAUGGAAAGUUUGAAGAUUUACUUCAUGGAAUCUGGUCCAAAAUGGAGAUUGUUAAUAAGUAUCCCAAAUUCCUAAUUAGUUUAGAUUUUUUUUUUUUGUAAAGAAUAUUGUAUAGAAUAUUUCUAGGUUAAUAUAUUAUUGUAAUAUUAGACUUCCUUAUAGAAUAAGGAAGGUUGUUGAAAAUAUCUUUAUAAAUAUUCUAGGUCAUGAGGGAAAAAAGUUAUGAGAUGAAAUGGGCCUGUAAAAACUAUAUGAGGUGGAUAGAGAUGUGAGGAAGAACAAGAGGUACUCAAUGGAAUGAAAGGGCUCGUGGUAGGGUAUGGAUACAAAGAGUGGGGAAAUAUGGGAUGUUUUGGGAACCUAAUAGUUGUAUCUGGUUCUGUCAUCUAUAAUGUUCUAGUUAUGUCCUCUAUAAUUGAUUCGUUCCCAAUUGGUGUCUCAGCUGAUUCAUGUCCUCUCCAUGGUCCCUGAUAGUGGUGCCAUUUGAUUCAUGUCCAGCUGGUGUCCCUUGAUUUUGGUCUUCAGGGAGUAAUCAACAAAAUUUAUAACCUAUUACACCAUGUACUAGGAUAGCCUUAGCUAGCAUAGCAUAGUGGCUCUAGGGUCGUUCACUGGGAUGGGUUUUCACUUCACAAUUGAUAUUAAUUCAAAGAUGAAUUGGUGCUUUUUCAUUUCAAGGUUAGCUUUAAAAGAAAACAUAAAGAUGUUUGAAUGAAAAAGGUUUUGUUUUAAACUAACCAAAAAUAAUAACUGAUUUUACUUACAAAGAAAAGUGUUUCUUGGAGUUUAGAUCACUGGGCUCAGAUUCCUUGUACAAAAAGGGAGUUCCGGUCACUUGUUUCUUUUCCUCGCAUUAGAGAAUUAACAUAUAGUUAAUUCUCUAACCGGUGUGGUACAGAUGCUUCCCCUUAAUGGGUUCAAACACUAAAUCCCUCUCACUGAUGCAACUUGCAAUGGCUCGUGCCUCUCACCUAGCAUUUGCCAUUCAAGGUGAUCUUUAACCUUGGAUUACCCUUCACAAGCUCGCAAGAGAUAACUAAUGGAUGUCUCCUUAGAGUCCAAAAGCUUACCAAGUGUUGGCAAUUCUAGAAAAUCAUACCUUCAAACCACCUCCCAAAAGCUCGCAAGAGGUAAACCAGUGCAUCUCCAUUGACGGAGAUCACUUGCCUAACCAAGUGUUGGCUCAAGUGAAUUGAAGGUGUUUUAAGUUAACUAAAAAGAUAAAAACCAUUAACGGGUCACACUUUCUCUUCAUUAAAAACUAAAACAACAAAACUUCCAAUUUAUGCAUGAGGAAACUUACCCGGCUUUCUUUCACUCCAAGAGACGAAGAGCCUAGCCUCUCAUCCUCUGAGAAAAAAUCCUCAGAGUUUGAUUGGCUAGAAAGAAAACUAACGAGAAAACAAAAAUAUAUAUAAGAAGCAGAGCAAAAGCUCUGUUCGUUGAUUACAUAUAUGAUAUAUGAUAUAUGAUGGAUCCUCUUCUUUACAUUGGUUCAAAGAUAUAUAUAGAGAAGAUAUUUUCUAAGAAAUAUCCCAAUAAUAUCUUUGACUAAUUACAAGGAGAAAAUAGAAAUUUACACAAAAUAUCUUGAGAGAAAAAAUCUAACUUAGUCGGUGGCAAAUAUCAGGAAGCUUCAGGAGAAUAUCGCGUCACUGUGCAAAAAUCCGGGUAAUCUGAAAUGCCGGCCGCGGAUGCUCUCCGGGUUAGCGCUAUUAGAAGAUCCGGACAUGCCUGUCUGGGGAGGUUGAAAUGCCUCUUCUUCCAUCCGGCGUCAGGCGUCGGAUUUGAAAUAUCUGAUCAGAGGAUCCUGACAUGUCUGACCGAACAGAAUUUCAGAUGUGAGAUAUCCGGACGUCGCAAGGGGGACCGUUUGCGUGUACAAGGUGUAGAGACCCUUCCCCCUGAUGACACGGAGCACGCAUCGCUAUCCAGAGCAACUCCAUCCGGAUUUCCCAAGAGGACACGCACCGCCAUGCUAUCCGGCACUCGUGAACAUCACACUCCGGAUGAUAGCAUAUCCUAUCCGGAUAUGUUGUCUGGAUCAUUGACUAAAGUGAGCAAGCCUUACUACAGCCCACGUUCCGCCGCUCUUCCAAUGGUGUGUCCGGACGCCCUGUCUGGACAUCUUUUUCCAUGGAUUCCAAAGAACUCUCCUCAAUCUCGGAUUGCUUUGGUGAUAAAAAAGCUAUCAAAACACCAAAACUUAACACAAUUUGAUUAGAAUUGAUUGCAAGGGUCCUUAAUAUGUUAAUUGGGUUAAAAAGUGAUAACUACUACUCAAAAGUGUUUAAAAGAGUUAAUUACAAGCUAUGAAAUAACACUUUUUGAGUAGUAAUCAAUAAUGUUCUCUAUUGUAUAGUGGAAUGAUUCUCUUUCAUUCGUGGAUGUAGGCAUGGUUGUCGAACCACAUUAAAACCUCGUGUACUGUUUGUGUUUUUUUUUUAAAAAAAAUUAAUCUUUGUUUCUUGAUUAAUGAUGUGUGCAUCAAAGCUUCCAUCUACGUAACAAACUGGUAUCAGAGCUUGGGUUGAAGAUUUUUGGAAUAGUAAAAGAUCACAAAGCACACAAGAUGAAAACAAAAGGAAUUUUUAGUGAAUGUGGAGUCAAUUGUUCUCUCAUGGUGAUAUGAUACAAAAAGUUUGUGUCAUGGAGGGUUUAAUGAUUGACUCCAUGGAAUUUGGUCCAAGGUAGAGAUUGUUAGGAAGUGUCCCAAAUUCCUAAUUAGUAUAGAUUUUUUUUUUAUAAAGAAUCUUGUAUAGAAUAUUUCUAGGUUGAUAUAUUAUUGUAAUAUUAGACUUCCUUAUAGAAUAAUGAAGGUUGUUGGAAAUAUUUUUAUAAAUAUUUUUAGUCAUGAGGGGAAAAAGUUAUGAGAUGAAGAUGAGCCUAUAAAGACCAUACGAGAUGGAUAGAGAUAUGAGGAAGAAUCGAAGGUACCCAGUGGAGCAAGAGGGCUCGUGGUAGGGUAUGAAUAUGAAGAGUGGGGAAACAUGGGAUGUUUUGGGAACCCAAUAGUUGUAUCUAGUUUUGUCAUCUAUAAUGUUCUGGUUCUGGCAUCUAUAAUGUUCUGGUUUUGUCCUAUGUAAUGUUCUUUAUUGUAUAGUGGAAUUAUUAUCUCUCAUCUGUGUAGACAAGUUGCUAAACCACGUUAAAACCUCGAAUACCAUUUGUGUUGAUUUUUUUUAUCUUUGCGUUCUUGAUUAACGAUGCUUGCAUCAAAGCUUCUACCAACGUAACAAUGUGCAACAUAUUUGAUAUAACUUAUAUUUUCUUAAGUAAUUGAACACUUUUUCUAUAAAUUUACUUGAUUAUCAAUGAAUACCUACAUAUACGGUAUUGACAUAGUUUGAUAAAUAUUUUAAAAUAGUAUUAGAAUGGCUUUUCUUUUUCCCAAUUAACAAAUUUAUCAAAUAUAUACAUACACACACACACACACACAUAAUACUCAUUAGUAUGUCUUUUAUGAAAAAACUAUAUUUGUUUAUUUGAAUUUAGUAGCCAUUCAACUCCUUAGUUACUCAUAAACUUUUUAUCACCUUCUUAAAGUCAAGUCAUUUACAAUUAUUUCUAUCUAGCCUUCUCCAUUAUAACAACUUUAUAAGAUAGUGAUUGAUUGGAAGAAUCUACAUGCCUUUGUUGAUAGGAUAAUUGUUUUUCUUUUUUUUUCGUAUUCAAAGAAUCUUGCUUCUGUUAUUGAAACUUUCAAAUCCUUUAUGUCAAGUUGUCUUAUAAUUCCCUAUUCAUUGGUCUUUCAUAUUACCAAUCAUUUUGAAAAUGAGUUAAUUUCAUUCACAUCCUCUGAGAUUUGAUGUAAAUUCGCUUAGUUACCAAUGAUUUCAAAUUUCAUUAAUUAGUACCCCUAUAGAUGUAAUUUGUGUACAAAAUUUAUUUUUUAAAAGAGUUUAGGUAAAAAUAUUUUAGGUAUAUGUCUUUAACAAUUCUCUAAAAUAAAUUUUACUUGCUAAAAAAUAACUUAUAUAGAUAGAAUACAUCUACAGGAGUUCUAACUAACGAAAUUUAAAACUAAUGGUGGUUUAGUGUAUUUAAACUAAACAUUAGGAAGGGUGACUGAAAUUAACCCUCUAGGUAUAUAUGUUUAACAAAAUUUUUAUUGUUUAUUUUUCAUUUAAUGUUUGCAUUUUUCAAUAAACAUUGAAAAGGAAUUGUUUUUCCAUAUGUUAACAAAAAGAAAUUUGAACACCUAUAAAAAUAAAAUCUUGUAGCAAAAUUGGAGUUACAUUAUCAGACUUUUAAUGAGUGUUUAUGUUUAGAAAGACCAAUUAAAGCAAGCAUGCAUCUAGAAAUUGUAACUUAGAUGCAUCAAACAUGAGCAACAUAUUUGAUAUAACCAAUAGUUUCUUAAGUAACUAAACACUUCUUUUUCUAUAAAUUUACUUGAUUAUCGAUGAAUACUUACAUAUAUUUACAUAGUUUGAUAAAUAUUUUAAAAUAAUAUUAGAAUAACUUUGUUUUUUCUCAAUUAUAUUAGAAAAUAAUAUAAAGUUACUUAUAAACUUUAUAUCAUUUUCUCAAAGUCAAGUCAUUUACAAUUAUUUCUAUCUAGCCUUCUCCAUUAUGACAACUUUUAUAUGAUAGCCGUUGAUUGGAAGAAUCUACAUGUCUUUUUUGAUAGGAUAGUUGUUUUUAUUUUUUUAUUUUUUUUAUUCCAAAAAUUUGCUUCUAUCAUUGAAACUUUCAAAUCUUUUAUGUAUAUUACCAAUCAUUUUACAAGUGAGUUAAUUUCACUUAGGGUAGAUAUACUUAGCCACACCCCUAUAGAUGUAAUUUGUGUUUAAAUUUUAUUUUUUAUUUAGGUAAAAAUAUCUUAGGUAUAUGUGUUCAACAAUUCUCUAAAAAAUAAAUUUUCUUAUCUAAAAGUUUAUAUAGACAAAAUACAUCUAUAGAAGUCCUAAUUAAUGAAAUUUAAAAUUAAUGGUUGUUUAGUGUAUUUACAUUAAACCUUAUGGGGUAUGAUUGAAAUUAACUCUUUUACAAGCACUUGUAGCUAAUAUGUUUGUAGUUGUAGUGUUGGAAAUUGAUCAUUUUCUUGAAGGCCUCUAAGAUAUUGAAAAUAUUGCCAUAGUUUUAGACUUUUUUUUAUUACACCUAAUAAAAAAUAUUAUUAAUUUAACAUAUAUAUUCUUGACUUAAAAGUAAAGUCUCUCCAUAUUGUAUAAGCCCUUAGGUGGCAAUAUUAGGUGAAGUUUUUCUUUCGUUUAUUACAAAAUAUAAAUAAUUUAUUAUUGUAUGAUAAAAUUUUAUGUAAUAUAUUUUUAUAGAUGUAAAAUUAUUAAUUGGGUUUUUUUUUUACUAAAUUGUCAUUUCAAUAUAUAAAACUUAUUUGUAAAAAGACAAUUAUAAACUAUAUGAAAUUGAAAAACAUUUAGUUUUUUUAUUUAAUUUAGAAUUUUAUUUGGAUUAAUAAUUGAUAUUUGUAAGAUUUUUUAAUAUUAAAAAAAGUUAGCAUACUUAAGAAAGAUAUUCAAGAUCGGGAGUGUUUGAUAUUGGAUUAAUUUCCUUAUUUUCUCUAUUUUAAUAAAUUUUCACGUCCAUUACAAAAUUUUUGUUGUUUAUUUUUCACUUCAAUAUUUUUAUUUUGUAAUAGACAUUUGAAAAGAUUUUUUCCUACAUGUUAAAAAAAAAAAUAUUUGAACACUCCUAAAAAAGAAUAUUGCUAUAAAAUUAAAGUUUACAUUGUAGGACUAUUAGCAAAUGCUAUAUACUUAAAAUAGACCAAUUAAAGUAGAAAUACUUCUAAAAUUGUAAUUUAGGUAACAAUAAUAUAAAAAGAUAAUAUUUUUGAAACAAUAGUUCUCUUGGAGUUUUGGGUACGAUGGACUAGACUUUAUGUACAAUAGAUAUACAAACUUUCCAUUAACAUCUUGAGAGACAUGAUGAGGAGCAAAGUCAUCCAAGAAGGUACCAUAGAGGUACCUUAGCUCCAUUCAUCUAGACUACAUAAUGUUUAAAGAUCAAAUUCAAUGACUAGAUUUCAAAAAUCAAUAUAAGCUUUCUCAUAUUCUACUCUAUAUAAGACAAUGGUAUGAUACCUCUCUUGUGUCGUAGAAUGCACCAUGAAAACCUUAUCAUUUUAACAUCAGUUUGAAACUUAAAAGUCACUUAGCACAUUCUAGUUAUUAAUCUAAGAGCAUUAAAAGAAAAUAUAAAAAAAGUUACUUUAUCCUUGUGAUUUUGAUUUAGGACUUUUAAUGAUAUUAAAAAAAAAAAACAAAACAGAAAAAUAAAUGGAAAUAAAAUCAACAAAUUAAACAAUUGAAUUAAGUUAGUUUAAUUCUUGCAUCGUUAAAUGGGUAAAUAAAGACUCUUAGAUUUGAUAUUAAUAUGAACAUCAUGACUUCAGUGAAUCUUACAAGAAAAUUUUAGUUUGAAAGACUUCAUUCAUUAAACGUGUGGCACAUAUUAAAGUAAAACUAAGUCUUCUCUAUAAUUUGUACCUAUCAUAGUUUCUUUCCUUAUAAAUAGCCUUUUUUGAAUAUAAUAUAGACUUCAACAUGCAUGGUGGGGCCAAUCAAACUACUAGUCAAGACAACUCAUGGGCAACAACGAUGUACCAACUACAUUUAAAUACUCUUCAUCUAUUUACAUAUCAAGAGUAAUUUAGUAGUGUCUUAUUUAUGUACCUCAUAUCUAGACUUUCAAUGGAGAGUUCUUCAUCUAAAAAUUUGACUUGGGUUUUCAUACUAGUUUUGGUUUAGACAUGUGGAUGCAAAGGUUGCAUCAAAGAAGAGAAGUAGGCUAAAUCAUCUUACAAAUUUUAUAGUUCAAAUUAGAUGCACCAAACAUAUGCAACAUAUUUGAUAUAACUAAUAUUUUCUUAAGUAAUUGAAUACAAUUUUUUUUUUAAAUUUACUUGAUUAUUAAUGAAUAACUACAUGUAUGGUAUUGACACAACAUGAUAAAUCUUUUAAAAUAGUAUUAGAAUAACUUUGCUAAAAAAAAGUAAAAAUAAAAAUAAAAAUACAUCUAUAUAUAAAAUUAAAUUAAAUUAAAAAUUAAAAAAGAAUAUAUAUUCUCUGUGUGUGUGUGUGUGCAUGGUCCCACAACUCAUUAGCUACUCAUAAGCUUUAUAUCACUUUCUCAAAGUCAAGUCAUUUUGUAAUUAUUUCUAUCUAGCCUUCUCCAUUACGACAACUGUAUAGGAUAUUGAUUGGUUGGAAAAAUCUUCAUGUCUUUUUUUAUAAGAUAGUUUUUUUAUUAUUAUUAUUAUUCAAAGAAUUUGCUUUUAUUAUUGAAACUUUCAAAUCCUUUAUGUCUAGUGGUCCUACAAUUCCCUAUUCAUUGGUAUUUCAUAUUACCAAUCAUUUUACAAAUAAGUUUAUUUCACCCGGUAAAUAUACUUAACUACUAAUGGUUUCAAAUUUAAUUGAUUAACACACUUAUAGAUGUAAUUUGUUUUUAAAUUUUAUUUUUUUAGAAGAAUUGUAGGUAAAAAUGUUUUAGGAAUAUGUGUUCAAUAAUUCUCUAAAAACAAUUUAUAUAGAUGGAAUACAUUCAUGUAAGUUCCAACUAAUGAAAUUUAAAACUAAUGACAAUUUAAUGUAUUUGCACUAAAUCUUAGGGGAGGUGUACUAAAACUAGCCCUUUUACAAAUAUUUGAUAUGAAAUUAAUUAAUUAAUUUUUUCUAUUUAAAUAAAUUUUUGCAUCCAUUAAUAAAAUUUUAUUGUUUAUUUUUCACUUCAAUAUUUUUAUUUUGUAAAAUAAAUAGAAAUAAAAUCAACAAAUUAAAAAAUUGAAUUAAGUUAGUUUAAUUUUGCCACCUUUAAAUUGGUAAAUGAAGACUCUUAUAUUUGAUAUUAACAUGAACAUCAUGACUUUAUUGAAUCUCACAAGAAAAUUUUAGUUUGAAAGAUUUUAUCCUUUAAACAUGUGACACAUAUUAAAGUGAGACCAAGUCUUCCCUAUAAUUUGUAUCUAUCACAAUUUCUUUCCUAAUGAAUAGCCUUUUUGAAUAGAAUAUAGACUUUAGCAUGCAUGGUGGGGCCUAGCUAUCAAACUACUAGUCAAAACAACUCAUGGGCAAGAAUGAUGUACCAACUAGAUUAAGUAUUCUCCAUCUAUUUGCAUAUCAAGAGUAAUUUAGUAGUAUCUUUCUUGUGUACCUCAUUUCUAGACUUUCAAUGGAGAGUUUUUUAUCUUAAAAUUUGACGUGGGUUUUCAUACUAGUCUUGGUUCAGAUAUGUGAAUGCAAAGGUUGCAUCAAAGAAGAGAAGUAGGCUAAGUCAUCUUACAAAUUUUCAAGUUCAAAUUAGAUGCAUCGAACAUGUGCAACAUAUUUGAUAUAACUAAUAUUUUACCAAGCAACUAAAUACUUUAUAUAUAUAUAUAAAUUUAUUGAUGAUCAAUGAAUACCUACAUGUAUGGUAUUGACACAGUUUGAUAAAUCUUUUAAAAUAGUAUUAGAAUAACUUUGCUAAAAAAAGUAAAAAUAAAAUAAAAUAAAAUAUAUAUAUAUAUAUAUAUAUAAAUAAACAAAAUAAAAAAUUUAAAAAGAAUAUAUAUAUUAGUGGUCCCACAACUCAUUAGCUACUCAUAAGCUUUAUAUCAUUUUCUUAAAGUCAAGUCAUUUACAAUUAUUUCUAUAUAGCCUUCUCCAUUGCGACAACUGUACAAUAUAUUAAUUGAUUGAAAAAAUCAUCAUGUCUUUUUUGAUAGGAUAGUUUUUUUUUUAUUCAAAGAACUUUCAAAUUCUUUAUGUCUAGUGGUCCUACAAUUCCCUAUUCAUUGGUAUUUCAUAUUACCAACCAUUUUACAAAUAAGUUAAUUUCACUCGAUAAAUAUACUUAACCACCAAUGGUUUCCAAUUUGUAGCAUUCUUAUAGAUGUAGUUUGUUUUUAAAUUUUAUUUUUUAGAAGAAUUGUAGGUAAAAAUAUUUUAGCUAUAUAUGUUCAACAAUUCUCUAAAAACAAUUUAUAUAGAUGGAAUACGUUCAUGGAAGUUCCAACUAAUGAAAUUUAAAACCAAUGAUGAUUUAAUGUAUUUGUACUAAAUCUUAGGGAGUGUGGACUAAAAUUAGCCCUUUUACAAAUAUUUAUAACUAGUAUAUUUGUAGUUGUGGUAUUGGAAGUUGAUCAUUUUCUUAAAAGGUUUACCAUUGAAGUUAGUUGAAUAUAAAGUUAGGUGAACUUUACCAUUGUUAAAUUGGUAAAUGAAGACUCUUAGAUUUGAUACUAACAUGUACAUCAUGACUUCAUUGAAUCUCUCACAAGGAAAUUUUAGUUUGAAAGACUUCAUCUUUUAAACAUGUGGCACAUAUUAAAGUGAGACCAAGUCUUCCCUAUAAUUUGUAUCUAUCACAAUUUCUUUCCUCAUAAAUAGCCUUUUUGAAUAGAAUUAAUAUAGACUUUAGCAUGCAUGAUGGGCCCUAUCAAACUAUUAGUCAAGAUAAUUUGUAGGUAAGAACGAUGGACCAACUAUAUUAAAUACUCUUCAUCUAUUUGCAUAUCAAGAGCAACUUAAUAUUGUCUUUCUUUUGUACUUCAUGUUUGAACUUUCAAUGGAGAGUUUGUCAUCUAAAUAUUUGAUGUGGGUUUUUAUACUACUCUUGGUUCAAAUAUGUGGAUGCAAAGGUUGCAUCGAAGAAGAGAAGAUGGGUUUGCUUGAAUUCAAGGCUUUUCUUAAAUUGAAUAAUGAGCAUGCAGAUUUUCUUCUCCCUUCAUGGAUAGAUAACAACACUAGUGAAUGUUGUAAUUGGGAGCGGGUUAUUUGCAAUCCCACCACAGGUCGAGUUAAGAAGCUUUUCUUCAAUGAUAUAACGCGACAACACUUGGAAGACAAUUGGUACUAUUACGAAAAUGUCAAAUUCUGGUUACUAAAUGUCUCCUUAUUCCUUCCUUUUGAAGAACUUCACCAUCUAAACUUGUCUGCAAACUCAUUUGAUGGGUUUAUUGAGAAUGAAGGUAUGUUACCUCUCACCUUUAAAUUUUCUUUUCACUUAUACUCCAAACAUUCUAAAGGAACUACUAGCAUAUGUUCUUAAAAGUGUUCAGGUGGAGAACAAAUGGUCACUAGUAACUAUUGAAUUUAAUAUAAGAACAAUUACUAAUUAUUAAAAUUUAUAAUGUAAAUUAACAUUUAAACAGAACAAUAAAAAAAUUAUUAUUUUAGAAAACUAUAGAUUACAUUAGCCUUAUAUAUAUAAGCAUACUUGUUAUUUAUGUCAUCAUUUCACACUCAACCCAAUAAGUGGGAUUCAACUAAGAGUGAGCAAUUUCACAAUUAUUAAUUAACAGGAACACUUAGGCUCCCAUAUCCUUAUCAUUUUUGCUGAAUUGUCUUUCCUUAUCUUCCAUUCCUAAAAAGCUUGAUUUCUAUAUUCCAAAUUGAUAGAGAUUGGUUAAAGAAAGGUGAUCACAAAAUUUGACUAUUGCUUUCAAAUGAGGAAUCACCAUCUUCAAAAUUUCACAUUUACAAAAAAAAUAAAUAAAAUAAAUAAAUAAAUAAAACUAGCCUCGGGUAAGGUCCAAGCCUUAUUGUUUUAAGCUGAUGUCAGAUUGGUUUAAUAAUGAACAGAGUAAAUCCUAACCCAUGACCAUCUACGCAUUUCCAAAUUCCACCCAUCCACAACCCAUUAAUAUGACAUUUUCAGGGACAAAAUUUAAUCAAUUAAACCUAUUAGAUGGAUUCUCCAUACAAUGUUAAAAUGAAUAUAAAAACUUUAAUUCAAAAAAUAAUUUCCUUUAUUUAGUUAGGAUUCAAAUUAUAGGGGCACAAAACAUGAAAAUUUUCAUGUUUAAAAUUCACAAAGAUCACAAAAGCUCUUUGAAGCUCUAUGGACUUUUUUAUUUCUAACAUUUAAACACAAAAAUCACCAAAUUUAAUUAGAGAUUUGGAUGCAUAUUCUUAUAUUAAAGACAUGUAAGCUUACAUAUUUAAAUAUGAAGAUCUCAACUUGUAAUUACAUGCUUCUAAUUAAAGUUAUAUUACUCUAUUUUACAGGAUUUAAAGGGUUAUCAAGUUUAAAGAAAUUGGAGAUCUUGGACAUAAGUGGUAAUGAGUUUGACAAAAGUGCCUUAAAAUCUUUGGGCACAAUAACAUCACUCAAGACAUUGGCUAUUUGCAGCAUGGGACUGAAUGGAUCUUUUUCCAUUCGAGGCAUGUUAUAUGUCCACAUUGUUUCUUUGAAAUUAAGUAAAAUAUAUUUCUAACUUUUAAUGUUCCUUAGUUAAUCUCUCUUUUGAUUCAUGUUUGUUGCAGACUUAGCUAGUUUGAGAAAUUUGGAAGUGUUGGAUCUAAGCUAUAAUCAUUUGGAAAGCUUUCAACUAUUGCAAGGUACUUCAUUAACUUGCUAAAAAAACUUACGAUAUUUUGUUAUUAAAUUAAAGGUAAGAUUAACAAACAAUUUCUUCUCAUUAGUUACUUUUCUUUGUAAUAUCAUUAAAUUUGAUAUAAUGUAGUCUAAAUCAUCCUUUCAAUUUAUAAGUUUUAAUUAAAACGCAUCAAGCAUGCACAAGAUGUUUAAUAUAACUAAUAUUUUCAUAAGUAAUUGAAUUUUUUUUAUGAAUUAAUUAACUUGAUUAUCAAUAAAUGCUUACAUGUAUAAGAUUAAUAUAGUUUCAUAAGUAUUUUAAAAUUGUCUUACAACACACACACACACACACAAGGAAAAUGAAAGGUAUGUGAUACCUUUAUGCUAUGUUUGGUUCUCAAAAAAAAUUGAGGGAAAAUGAAAGGAGAAAAAAAUAGAGAGGAAAAGUAAAAGAAAAGAAAAGAAAAAAAGUGAAGAAAAAUAUAAAAUUGAUUAAAGUAAAUACAUUAUUUUUAUAUGUUACUUUAACUUGUUUCACUUAUUUUAAUUCUUCAAUGUAAAGAUGAAAGAUUUGAAAAUGCAUAAGUUUCUAAUUAUUUUUUUAUUUUAUUUUAUAGUUUUUACAAUACAACCAAACAUAAUAAAAUCAUUUUCUUUAAUUUUUUUUCUUUUCUUAAUACUUUUCACGAACCCUUAAGUUAUGUUUGGUUUGCAGAAAAUAUGAGGAACAGAAAAUAGAAAAGAAAAUUAAAAGGAAAGAAAAAGUGAAGUAAAAUAAAAAUAAAUUUAAAUUUAAUAAAUUAUUUUUAUAUGCUACUUUAAACUUAUUUCACUUAUUUUAAAUUAUUUAAACUCAUUUCUAAUAAAUAAUAAUGGAAAUUGUAGAGAAGUUUGUGUUAUUCAAGCUUUGCAAUGACUUUUCAAGGUGAAGGAAAAUAUUCUUGCUGAAAUUGAAGAAGGAAAUACCUUCUUAAAUAGCCUAUUGACCGAAAACACAUUACCCUAACAUAUACACACACCUUUAUUAUUUAUACAAUCAUUUAAUACUUAAUCCCGUUAGUGGGAUUCUAGUGGUUGUUUCUAUCUUGGUUUCCAAUAUUUCUGAUUGAUAGUGUUGGAUUAAUGAAAUAUCAUAAAUUUUGACCCCAAUAAGGACCAAUCCCUAUUAAAUGUAAUUGGGUUGACCUAAGACUAAAUGUUAGACCCAACUAAUAAAAACCCAUCUGUUUGUUGGAGUCUAAAUAACCCAGCCUUAGGUAGGGCCCAUGCCUUAUUAUUUUAAGAUGUAGUCCAACUGGUUUGACACUGGAUUGAGUAAAGCCCAACUUAUGAGCAUCUGUGCAUUUCCAUCCAUCCACAACCUACUGGCAUGGACAAACUUUGGUCAAUUAAACCUAUUAUAAAUGUAUACAAAAUUUUAAGUUCAAAAGAUAAUUUUUCUUAUUUAGUUAGGAUUCAUAUUAAAAAGGCACAAAGCACGAAUUUUCAUGUUUAAAUUCACAAAUAUCACGAAAGCUCCUUCAAGCUCUAUGGACCAUUUUAUUUGUAACAUUAUAUUACUCUUAAUUAUCAAAUUAACCAACAAAUUCUUCUCAUUAGUUAUUUUUCUUUUGUAGUGUCAUAAAAUUUGAUGUAAAGUAAUAUUGGUCAUCAUUUCAACUUUCAUGUUCCAAUUAGAUGCAUCAAGCAUGUGCAACAUAUUUGAUAUAACUAAUAUUUUUAUAAGUAAUUGAAUUUUUUUUUCUAUAAAUCAAUUAACUUGAUUAUCAAUGAAUACUUUCAUACAUGAUAUUGAUGUAGUUUCAUAAAUAUUUUUAAAUAGUCAUAGAAGUCUUUUAUCUGAUUCACUAGAAAGAAAAAUAAACUAUUCUAAUGAAAAUACUUGAUGAUUUGAAGUGAUUGCUUUUGAUUUUAUUUGAUUGCUACCAUUAUUAAUUGUUAGAAAUUGGCAACAAAUACCCAUUUUGCAUCACUUCUAUAUGCAUCGAGGGAAUGAAUUAUAUUUCAUAGAGCUAACAGGGCAAAACUCAUACUUUUGGAAUUAUGGAAAAGGUUGCUAGAAAGCUAAUUAACAAUUUAUAUUAUGAUUAAGACUAGUUGGGUUAGAAAUAAUUCAUAUGGAGAUUAAAAAAAACUAUGUAAUUUAGUUUAGUAGCUUGGGUGCUAUUGUAAUGAUUAAUGAUCUGCAACUUGAACACAUCUACUAGUGCUUUCUACUUGUAUAGCUAAAUUUAUGUUACCACUUUGAACUACAGUACUUACAUGAGAAGAAAGCUUUUCCUUAGUGAUAAUGCAAAAGAAAUUAAGUAUCAAUUUUUGUUAAACUAACAAGUGAUAGUUUAGAUAUGUUUUGAAUACACUUCCUUUCUUCUAUUUUUUUAUUUUGAAAAAAAAAACUCUUUAAUGAAAUAUAAGAAAUCUUAUAUGUAUAAAAAGUAAAGACUUAAACAAAAAAAUUCUUCAAAUUUUAAAAAUUUCGAGAAGUAUUUUUAAGAAUUUGUAUUUUUAGUAUAAUAAUUCCUAUAUUUUGUAUAAAAGCUUUUGUUCAAAAAAAUAGAAGUGUAUCCAAAUUAAAAAUUAAUGGUUAAAUUAAGAAUGUUUCUCAGAUCAAGGGAUAAUGAAAGUUGUAGAGAGUUUGCAUUACUCAACCUUUGCAACUACUUUUUGAAGGUAAAAGAAAAUACCUUCUUACAUAACAUACAAUGGCAAGUUCUGGUUUGUAAGAAACUAAUAAAUGAUUAAGAAUAUGAAUAAGACUUCCUUAAUAAUAGAUAUGUAGAGAAGAAUAGUGGAUGAUAGGAGGUGAAAAUCUUGUAAUAAAAUAUCAAUAUCGGUUAUAAGAUAAUCAACAUUUUCUUGUACCUAUGUGAUUAAGAAUCUUGUAGCUCCCUUAUUGAAAUAUAAUAUAAAAAUAUAAAUAAACUAUUUAGAAGUGCAUGUAGUUUUCAACAUGAGGAAGUUCAAAAGCAAGUUAAUUAUGAUAAUUUUCUAUAGUCUAUAUUGAACACAAAUUAUUUUUUCUAAAGGUUCAAUCGUUCUAUGAAGGUUAAAAGUUUGAAUUGUUUACAUAUGCAAAUGUGAAAUUUGAAAUUUUAUAAUGUUUUAUAAUUUUCUUGUAGAUUCAAAAAACUUGUCCAUAUUCAAAAAGCUCGAGACCUUGAACCUCAAUCACAACAAGUUCAAAAACACUAGCCUACAACAAUUGAAUAUAUUUACAUCCCUUAAAAAUCUUUCUCUAAGACGGAACUAUGAUGGAGGAUUUUUUCCGAUCCAAGGUAUGUGUAAUUAUUAUUAUUAUUUUUAAUGAUAAAAUAUUAGAAUUGUCAACAUCUUUUAUCUUUUUUCCCCUCAAUGGUGUUGCAGAAUUAUGCACUCUAGAAAACUUGGUGAUGUUGGACCUAAGUGGGAAUUUCUUUAUUGGCAUGCAAGGUAAAUACAAAGUGAAGUUUUGGUUAUAUAUAUAUAUCAUGUAAGAACAUAACUAAAAUCAACAUUCUUUGCCUAUCAAUUUGUGCAUGACUAUUAUUUAGUUAUUCUUCGUAACAUAAUUGAAAGAAUGUUUAGGUGUAUAACAUUUAAGAAUUUUACAUGGCACAAUGAAAAACAUGGUAAUCAAUGUAUGCAAUAAAAUUCUAAUAGUUGAAAAAGAAUUUUCUUGUAAUUUUAUGUUCGUGUAUAGUAAUCAAAGAGAAAAUCAUGAAAAUGUAUAUUAGUUAGACUUUAUAUAUCAAUAGACAAAAAAGAAAGAAAAAAGAUUAGUUCCUUAACUUAUCCUAAAAUUUUCUAGAUAACAAGGAGUUUUUUUAUUUUGGGCUAUAAGAUUUACAACCUGAAAAGUGAAGAUGAUUAAUAUUAGUAAUAUAAUUUUGAAAUAUAAAAAUUAAUGAAAUAAUGUUCUCUAUAACUAUAACUGCAACUGCAACUAUUAAUAAAAGAUAAUAAAAGUACUUUAGACUUUGAAUCCAUGGUUAGGUUUGCAAUUUUUUGAUGAUCAAUAAAGCUACAACUUAUGCUGCAAAAGGCUAUACAAAAUGUAUUAGGAGCAUUGCUAAGCUCAUUUAUCAAUAAAAGAAAUCCAGUAAUACUUUGAUUGGAAAAAACCUAGAAUCAUGUUUGAUAUAUAUAAUAGGAGAAGAAACAAAAUAACAAUUCCAUGGUAUUAGUUAGUUUGAUAUCCCUUUUGUUAUAUGGAAUAACUAUUCCAUUUUAAAAUAAUUAUUUCAUCUUAUCGCUAGAACAAAAAAUUUCAAGCAAUUAUAUGCGCUUUUGGGUUUCUUAAGAAUUUAAGCAUUUAUGGGUCACCCAUAUAUACAUAUAUAUAUAUAUAUAUAUAUAUAUAUAUGUAGGAAGAAUAAAAAAAAAUAUUAUACGGAGACAAGGGUAGACACCCAUAUAUAUAUAUAUAUAUAUAUAUAUAUAUAUAUAUGUAGGAAGAAUAUAAAAAAAUAUUAUAUGGAGACAAGGGUAGACACCCAUAAAUGUACAUAUAAUUAUUUAAAUAAAAAAUCAAUAAGAAACAAUAUACAACAAAAUAGAAAAUUUUAAUCUUCUUAAAUUUUAAAAAUAAAAACUAAAUGAAAAAAAAUUAAGAAGUAAAAAUAAUAAUAAAAAGGUCAAGAAUACAAAUAGAGAAGUAAACAAAAAAAAUACAUAAAUUAAAAUUAAAAUUUAAAAGAAAAAAUACAUAGAUUAAUAUGAACACUAAAUGAGGUUUUUUGAGAUAGACUUAGUUAGACCUGAACCAGAUGGAUAUUAAAAAAAAUAAAAAAAAAUUGAAAGAAAUAAAAACUAAUUAGAUGCUAAAUAUUGGAUUAAAAUAACCAAAUGAAUAAAGAGUAAUUAUUAAUUUUUAACAUUUUUUAUUCCCUAGAAUUAUUAUUUUGUGUAUUAAAUGUAUUCUGAGUGUAGUGGUAUAAAAAAUGUAGUUAAGAAUACUAUGAAGAAUAAUAAUGGUGAUGAUAAUGGUGACGACACUUAAUACCUUUUAUUGUACGUUUAGAAAAAAUGAGGUUCUUGAUCUUUAUGGAGAUUAUCAUUACUCAUCCGCAAGCAUGUUGAUAGUUGAAACUACUCAAUUAUCAAAAAUUGAAUUUCUAACCUUCAAUUUUUCUCUCUCAAAUGUAUAUGUGGGUGAGAAAGCACUAGGAAGAUUAUAAGGUCUCACAUGUAUAUGAGUCAUAGGAUAAAAAAUAUAGAGACAAUACUAGCAUUUAUUUGAUCUAGUGGCAAAUAGAGAAAUAUAAAAUAACCAUAACCAUAAUGUUCUAACCUUAUAUAUACCAGAACCAUGUUUCCUUCAUUCAAUGUUGCAACUUUUUCUUUUCAAAUUAGAAUGUAACUUGUAGGAUCCAUUGCCCAUCAAAAUUUUGAAUCGAAUAUUAUAAGAUAUUUCACAUUUCUACCUACUAAAGCAUGAGCUUCAAUGUUCUCAUGCACUUUUGGCUACUAAGUUAAAGAACCCUUUGAGGAUUAAUGGAGUUUCUAUGAGUAGCAAAGCAUUAUAAUCAGAAAGUCUUAUCAGUGAUAUGCAAUUUGACCAAGAACUUAUUCCCAACUAUUUUAUGAAUUUUAUGACUUUUCUUGGCUACUUGUAGGCAAGCUAAAGAAAUUUUCUGGUUUGUUCAAGUCUAAAAAGUGGUUUCAAGUUUAGGGCCAAGCUUGGGCUGCACCUAGGUCCUUGGGCCUUGUUCAGCUCCACGUUUAAACCAACCUUGAGUCCAUCUUUGUAAUUUUUCUCCCAAUUCAUUGAUUAAUAUUAGGAUUUUAUAGAGCCUAUAAAUUGACCAACUAAAUAAAGUAGGUUCAUAAACUUUUAGGUGAAAAUUUUCUCUUUAAUAAAUGUUAAUUCAAGAGUCUCCGUAAUCUUUUUAUAUUCAUAUUAAUUGGUAUUUAAACCGACCUUACUAUAUUAAAGUCAAAUACCAAAUAGUGAACACUAUAUCUACUACUACCACUAUGAUGGUCACAAACAUAGAAUGCUCCAUUUUUUAGAGUCAAUUGAUGCUUAUAAACAACUUUGUUUGAAAAUAAAACACAUCGAGUGAUUGCAUCAAGAGAUUGAUGUAAUAAUUGCAUACUUGAUCUAGAUAAUGUUAAUAUGAGUUGACUAAAUAAAUGAGUAUUUACUUAUAAGGUAGCCCAUAGAACAUUAUUUGUGGAAAUAUUCAUGCACCUCUACAUAUGUUCAUGAUAACUUAGGUUGAUAAAUUUAAGAAGAACAAAUUCAUAACCUUGGGCAUAGUUAGUAAGAAAUUUCACCAAUAGAGUUUGGUAUCAUGAUUCUAAUUGUUCAAAUUGUUUUAAAGGAGUAUUUUAAAUUGCAUGUUAAUUUGCUUCUAAUAAAUGGAGAGAAACCAAUUCAAGAAGAGAAUUGUACUCAAGCUAUGUAUAGCAUUCAUGAAGAUGUAGAAAAUAUUGAUGAACUUACUUUUGAGCAAGUUGAAAUCAUAAUUAAAUAAAAUAACAAACCCAAGGGUUAAGAUUGUCAAGUAAAACUUUAAUUAAAAUUUAUUGAUUUUUUAAAUGCCUAUUAGAGGAGCAAUAGAAGUUCUAGAUAGAAAGUAAGAACUUUUCUAAGGAAUCACUUGUUAGAUUUUAAGUGAUCAAUAAAUAUAAUGUCCAAUUUAAAACUUUUAUAAAAGCAAUGGUUCUAAAGAAUAACUUGAUUUGAAUUUAAAGUUAUUAUUGAUAUUUAUUUAUAAUGGAUGUAGUUAAUCAAUUGAACAUAGUAAAAAACACAUAAUUUUUUCAAAAUACCUUCUAAUUGUUGGGUAUAUUUAAGUAGUUAUUCAUAUCUCAUUAUCUUUUUACUCACAUACUAAUCUCCUUAUUGAGUAUUUACCAAUUACAAGUAGGUUGAAAGUUACUUGAAUUUAAGUCACUAAUCAAUGUUAACUUGAUGACAAAUAAGUCUCCCUUUGAAACUUGUUUUAUAACAUAGCGAAAUGUAGUCGAUCAAUCAUCAAAACAAUGUUUAAGCAUUGGGAUUUAGUUGUUAAUUUUUAUUUUUUAUUUUUUGUGCUUAAACAAAGACAAAAAUUAUAAAAACUCCUGAAAAGUACAUAUUAAUUGAAUUUAAUUUAUACAUCAAACAAGAACAAACUAGUCUUGGAUUUAAAAUUCAAUAGGUUUUGUAAUUAUAAUUCCUAAAAAUUUGUAAGACAACAAAAUUAUUGGACACUAGGCUAUUGGGUGUGUAUGACUAAGAGGUGAAGGAGGGUUCAUCUUAUACAAAGGAUGAUUUGAUUAAUUUUAAAGAUUGAAUAAACAAUAAUUGCAUAUUCAAGUAAAAAUAACAUUGCUAAAAAGGAAAAUAAGUAUUUUAGUCCUCAAACCUAAAAUGGCUAAAAAAUUUAAUUAAUACAAUUACAACUUCACCUACAAAAAAAAAAAAAAAAAAAUACCCAAAACUUUUCAAUAGCACAACUAAGUCCAUUUAUCAAAAGCUCUAUGAACAACAACAACUAUCAAAUCACAUAAAUCAUGUUGUUUACAAAGUGCCCUUGAUGUUUUAAAACAUAAGAUAUUACAUAAAAAUCAACCAAUAGUGUAUGACAUUAUAAAAAACAUAUCCAAAUCCAUUGUCGAACUUAAACUAAAUUCAACUUUAUAUACAUAGUCGCAAGUGGGUCUUUUUGUCUUUCAAUUUGGGUCAAAUUCAGAUGUUAGUUUUUUACACAACAAGGGAUUAUCAAGGUGAUAAUUCAUGCAUAUAAAUAGUAUUACUUAUAUAAAAAAAAUGGUAAAUGCAAUUUUUUUGUAUUCACUCACCAUUUGGCAUAUCAAUAAGAAAAAAAUAUAUACAAUAGGUGCUAUCAAUAAUAUUAUGCAUCACUAGAAAUUAUAAUUUUUCAUUUGUUAUCACUACUUGUGCACUUUGGAAAGCUUGCUAGGUACAACAAAUUAGCUCAGUGAAGAAAUUGAUCAAUUCCUUCAUUUCUAAAUAAAUUUGCAUAUACACUAGAAUAAAAACAACUUUUUAACUUAACAAGUUGACUGAGUCUCAGAACUUAGUAGGUUGAAGGCAUAGACUUCCAUCCAAGCUCAUUUACUGGCACCACAUGUUGGAAAAAUAAAGAAAAAUCAAAACACUUGAGUAUAGUUGCAAACCAAUCUAAAUAUAGAGUGAGAUCUACCUUUCUUUGAAAGUUUAGAACAAAUUUUUAUUUUUAUGAUAAGACUAUGCAGUACUUAUCCCUCUCUAACAAGUCUAUAAUCAGUCCAAAGCAUGGGAUAUUGCAUAUUUCUUGAACUCAAUUAGCCUUUAAUCCAUGCAUUUCAAGUAAAUUUAAAACCUGGUGUACUUGUUCUUGAUUCACAUCCUUGUCACUAUUAUCAUUACUUGUUCUUGAAUAUAGAACCUUAUUGUCCAUUAACAAGCGGGCCUAUGUUCCUCCAUGAUUCAAGAGUAUUAUGUUUUGUUCAUCAUCAGUUGGUCUUGCUCUAAAGCUUCUUUUUUAUGACUAUCAAUAACCAGACUUAGAUACCAAAAUUUAUGCAAGAGAGCAUGUACUUUAUACAGUCAAGAACUUGUGAGUCUAGACUUUGUUAUCUAGGUAAAAGAAUAAAUUGGUUUGUUAAAAUAGCUAGCAUUAGGUAUCUAUUCAAUUCCUAUCUUAGACAAUAAAGAUACAAAUGAUCAAAUACAUUCUUAUUAAGAAACAUUUGAUACCAAAAGUGAUGUAAGACAACACAGUUCCUCUAUUCAAUCAAGUUUAAGGCUUAGAUGAACCUAUGAAUUUAUAUUAAUUAAUUGGGAAAGAGAAUAAAUAGGCUAAGUAGAAGUGAUAGGAUUGUAAUAGCAUUAAGUUAAUGAUCUUGUUUAGGUCUUCUACUAAAUUAGAGAAGAAACAAACAAAAGUAAUCAAACGUGUUAGUGAUAAUUAUAUCUACUUAACAUUGAGACAAUAGUUGUACUAAUGGUAAUUAUAUUAUUUCUUGAGAGUUUAAACAAUAUAUAUUGAAAAUAUUUUUAAAGGUUUAGCAACUACCAAGGUUAUAAUCAACUACGAGCUUUUUAUUUUUAAAAAUAUGAAAUAUUAAUAUCUUUACUUUCUUUGAUCUUCUUGUAGGUUUUAAAAGUUUGUCUAAGCUGAAAAAGCUGGAAAUCUUAAACCUUCGUGAUAAUCAGUUCAACAAGACCAUUAUAAAACAGUUGAGUGGACUCACAUCCCUUAAAACACUAGUUGUAAGCUACAACUAUAUUGAGGGACUUUUUCCUUCCCAAGGUAUUGCUUAUUCUUUUAAUAUCCUUAGUAACCACUCUACCAUGAUUUUUUUUUUUUUCAAUUUUAUUUUCUUUCUUGAACCAUACAGAAUUAUCUAUUUUUGGAAACUUGAUGACACUGGAUUUAAGAGAUAAUAGACUCAAUGGCUCCCUAUCAAUCCAAGGUAAAUUCUAAUCAGAAUUAUCAUUAUAUUUAGGGCAUAUAAUAAAUUAAUUAAAUUAUUUUAUCUAUUAUCAUUACUUGGUUAUUUGGAUUUUCUUGAUAUUGUUUAGCAUUUUACAUAGGAAAAUGAAAUGGAAAAAUCAACCCAUGCUUAGUGUUUAAGCACUGGGCUAGAAGUAUAUUUGUCUUCCCAAUUUAAUCAAAGAGAAAAGUCAUAAAUAACAUAAUUUAACUUAUACCUUAUAUUGAUUGAAGAGGUUAGACUACUUUUGGAUUUAAUGGUCAAUAUUUGUUGAAGAUAGGGUUUCCUAAAUUUGAUAAAAAGAACUUCAAUUUAAAUUACCAUAACUACAUAAAGGUGUGACUAGCAUAAUUAAACUCUUUUAUUAAUAGAUGUUCAUAGACUAGUAUUAUAAUCCCACAUGCACAAAUAAUCAAAUUUUGAAAUUAGACUUCAAAUAACUAUGCAAUAUACGAAACUACAAAAUGAAUGGUAGGUCAUAAUUAAUUAAAUUCGUACUAUAUUCAAUGUUGGUCAACACGUGUCAAGUAAAAGUUUUGGCCUAAGUGUAAGGGCUCACUUGCUCCAAUAUAUAUGUUAUUCACUUUGGGUCAAGGCCUACUUUAAAAUAUCUAUACAUUUAUGAGAUAUUUUAAAAUGUAAAAUGAUAGGUUUUGAUCAUUUUUAAAGGUAGCAAACAUUUUAUUUUAUUUGUAUUUAAGAACAACGUCUUUUCUUAUACAAUGUUUAUUUAAUUUUCUUUUGAUAGAUUUUGCAAGCUUAAGCAAUUUGGAGAUAUUGGAUUUGAGUUAUAAUUCCUUCAAUGGAAUUGUUUCAUCAUCUAUAAGAUUAAAGUCUUCUCUCAAGUCUUUAUCCUUGGCUGGAAAUAGACUCAAUGGUUCUUUACAAUGUCAAGGUAGGAAACAUUUAAUUUUAUUUGUAUUUAAGAACAAUGUCUUUUCUUAUAUAAUGUUUUUUUAAUUUUCUUUUGAUAGAUUUUGCAAGCUUAAGAAAUUUGGAGAUAUUGGAUUUGAGUUAUAAUUCCUUCAAUGGAAUUGUUUCAUCAUCUAUAAGAUUAAAGUCUUCUCUCAAGUCUUUAUCCUUGGCUGAAAAUAGACUCAAUGGUUCUUUUCAAUAUCAAGGUACAUAUGUUAUGCUUUCUUUGUUUCAUAAAGAUUAGACAAGAUAAACAUUGUGAAAAAAAGGUUGUCAUAGUUAAUGUAAAAUGAUAGGUUUUUGAUCAUUUUUAAAGGUGGCAAACAUUUUAUUUUAUUUGUAUUUAAGAACAAUGUCUUUUCUUAUACAAUGUUAUUUUAAUUUUCUUUUGACAGAUUUUGCAAGCUUAAACAAUUUGGAGAUAUUGGAUUUGAGUGGUAAUUUCUUCAAUGGAAUUGUUUCAUCAUCUAUAAGAUUAAAGUCUUCUCUCAAGUCUUUAUCCUUGGCUAGUAAUAGACUCAAUGGUUCUUUUCAAUAUCAAGGUACAUAUGUUAUGAUUUCUUUGUUUCAUAAAGAUUAGACAAGAUAAACAUUGUGAAAAAAAGGUUGUCAUAGUUAAUGUAAAAUGAUAUGUUUUGAUCAUUUUUAAAGGUGGCAAACAUUUUAUUUUAUUUGUAUUUAAGAACAAUGUCUUUUCUUAUACAAUGUUAUUUUAAUUUUCUUUUGACAGAUUUUGCAAGCUUAAACAAUUUGGAGAUAUUGGAUUUGAGUGGUAAUUUCUUCAAUGGAAUUUUUUCAUCAUCUAUAAGAUUUAAGUCUUCUCUCAAGUCUUUAUCCUUGGCUGUAAAUGGACUCAGUGGUUCUUUACAAUAUCAAGGUACAUAUGUUAUGCUUUCUUCGUUUCAUAGAGAUUAGAGAGGAUAAACAUUGUAAAAAAAAAAAAGUUGUCAUAGUUAAUGCAAGCUAAAACUAAAAAACUUGCUUUUUCAAUUAUGUAAGCAUGUUUUGUUCUUGAUGAAUCUUUACAACAUUCAAAGUUACUAAUAUUUAUAAUUCAUAGAGACCUCAUUAACAACCACUAACAACUAAUUGUAAGUAACUAUGAAAAAAGUAAGGACAAAAAUGAGGGAAAAGCAAGGAAAGUGACAAAUUUUUUCAUCCCCAUAAAAAAUGCUAAGGAAGAAAAAGGUGAAGAAAAUUUAAAGAAAGUAUAUUUUUCAAAAAUUAAAUUUUCUUUCCCUUAAAGUUGGUAUGGACAACCAAACAAGAAAAUGAUUUUGAAAUUCUUUUUUGACUUUUUUCUUUCAUUUUUUUUCCUACUCUAUUUUCUUUCCCUCAAACUUUCUAGGUAGUAAACAUUACCUAAGACAAAUAGGGAAGAAAAUAUUUUAUCAUUUAUUUAUUUAGCAUUUUUCUUACAUUUUUUGUAUUUUAUCCAAAUAUAAGAAAACUAUUUUUCUUUAUUUUUUCUUUUCCUUGUUGCGUUUCAAGAAUCAAGCAUACUUUAAACUCUAAUUAAGAGUUACAUAGAUUUACGAAGAAACGAUGCAACUGGUAACAAAAAAUUAAGGAAAUUUAAUUUUUGAGAGUAAGUAUAAUGAGAUUGGUUUGUUUGAUACAAAAUUUGAAUAAAAAUUCUUUUAAUGAAAAUUCAAGGAAAGGAAAAAAAAAACAACUUUAUCUCUAGACUAUAAUACUAAAUCAAUUAAAAAAAAUCUCCUAACAUCGUUUAUGUUCAUCUUUCUUUUUAUGGAUUUGAAAAACUCAAUAAUUUGGAGAAAACUGAUUUAAGGAAGAAUAUUUUUUAGAGUAAAAGAUUAUUAUUUAAGAAUAUCAUAAAUAUUAUAGUCAUUGUUGAAUAUGAUAAAUGAUAAAUAAAAAAUAAAAAAUAAAUAAAAAGUCGUUGGAAAUUUAGAUACUUUUAUGGAAAGAUAGACAAAGUGCUCUAGUUUAUAAUACUAAUGCACUUUUCUAAUUUGAUAUGAAAAAAGGUAAAACGAUAGGUUUUGAUCAUUUUUAAAGGUAGUUUGUUUAAAUCAUUUUAAUUUAUUUUGAUUUAUGAACAAUAACUUUUAUUACACUAGUUAUUUUGAUUUUCUUUUGAUAGAUUUUGCAAGCUUAAGCAAUUUGAAGGUAUUGGAUUUGAGUUAUAAUUCAUUUAGUGGGAUCGUUCCAUCAUCUAUAAGAUUGAUGUCUUCUCUCAAGUCUUUAUCUCUGGCUGGAAAUGACCUCAAUGGUUCCUUACCAAAUCAAGGUACAUAUAUUGAGAUUACAGGUUUUUCUGUUUUCUUUUUUAAUAUCUUGUUUGUUCUUUAUGCCAAUGAAGUCAUGCAUGUCUAUUAAUUUUUGGUAUUUAAUGAAAAACUUUAUUCUUAAUUCAUAAAGACCUCAUCAACUGUGAGUAACAGCUAGUUGUAAGUUUGGGGGCAUUGACAAGACGAGGAGAUGAUUGGUUACAUGUCUUAUUCUCUUUUGUAGGCUUUUUCCAAUUGAAUAAGCUUCAAGAGUUGGAUCUUAAUUACAACUUAUUCCAAGGGAUCCUUCCUCAAUGUUUGAAUAAUUUGACAUCUCUAAGGUUAUUAGAUCUCUCUUCCAACCUAUUCUCCGAAAAUCUUUCUUCCACUCUGUUACCUAAUCUCACAUCCCUGGAGUACAUUGAUCUCAGUUACAAUCAAUUUGAGGGUUCAUUCUCUUUCAGCUCUUUUGCUAAUCACUCCAAGCUUCAAGUGGUCAUACUUGGAAGUUAUAACAACAAAUUUGAGGUAGUUGGAAGGGAUAACAACAAAUUUGAGGUAGAAACUAAAUAUCCAGUUGGUUGGGUUCCCCUGUUUCAGUUGAAACCUCACCGGUGACCUUCCUGGUUUUCUUCAAUACCAAUUUAGAUUAACGGCAGUUGAUCUCUCCCAUAAUAACUUGACAGGAAGUUUCCCCAAUUGGCUGCUUGAAAACAAUACGAGAUUGGAAUUUCUGCUCCUGAGGAAUAACUCUUUAAAGGGUCAACUACUUCUCCUAGGACCUAAUACCCUGAUCAGUUCGUUGGAUAUCUCACACAAUCAGUUGGAUGGACAACUUCAAGAAAAUGUGGCCCAUAUGAUUCCAAAUAUUUGGAAGUAUUCCCAAUUCAAUCUCUAGACUUCUAGAGCUAAGGAUUCUUUUGCUAAGAGGAAACCUUUUAAGUGGUUUCAUUCCAUAUCGACUUUGUCAUUUGACUAAAAUAAGCUUGAUGGAUCUUUCAAACAACAAUUUUUCUGGGUUAAUUCCUGGAUGCUUUGGUCAUAUCGGAUUUGGAGAUUUCAAAACUGAGCACAAUGUGUAUAUACCGAUGUUGGAUUCAUAUUCAGAAAGCAAUCCUUCUAUAUAUACGGGUUACUUAAUAAAAUAUUUAUUUUUCUCUAGUGAACUCCCUGAUAAAGUAGAUGAAGUUAAGUUUGUUACCAAGAAUAGGUAUAGCUCCCACAUAGUAGAUAAAAAUAUUUGUUCGGAAUUUAGAUAUUUUUAUAGAAAAGUAGACAAGUAUUCUAAUUUAUAAAAACAAUGCAUUUCUUUAGUUUGGUAUAAAAAAAUGAAAUGAUAGGUAUUGGUAAUUUUUUUUAAAGUAGCAAACGUUUUAUUUUAUUUGUAUUUAAGAAAGAUGUCUUUUCUUAUACUAGUUAUUUUAAUUUUCUUUUGACAGUUUUUGCAAGCUUAAGCAAUUUGGAGAUACUAGAUUUGAGUUCUAAUUCCUUAAGUGGGAUUAUUCCAUCAUCUAUAAGAUUGAUGUCUCAUCUCAAGUUUUUAUCGCUGGUCGGAAAUCACCUCAAUGGUUCUUUACAAAAUCAAGGUACAUAUGUUAUGAUUUGUUUGUUUCAUAUAGAUUAGAGAAGAUAAAUAUUGUAAAAAAAAAAAGUUGUAGUUAAUGUAAGUUAGAAAAAAGUAUCUUGCCUUAUAAAUUAUAUAAGCACGUGUUUGUUCUUAAUGAAUCUUUACAACAUUUAGAGUUACCAAUCUUUAUAAUUCAUAAAGACCUCAUAAACACUGAGUAACAACUAAUUGUAAGUAAUUGUGGAAAAGUAAGGAAAACAAAUUGCUUCAUUUGAUACAAAAUUCGAAUAAAAAUUCUUUUAAUGAAAACUCAAGGAAAGGAAAAAACAUUUUUAUCUCUAGAUUAUAAUACUAAAUCAUGUAAAAAAUCUCGUAACAUCAUUUAUAUUCAUAUUUCUUUUUAUAGAUAUGAAAAAUUCAACAAUUUGGAAUAAACUUAUUCAAUGAAGAAUAAUUUUUAGAUUUAAAGAUUAUUAUUUAAGAAGAUCGUAAAUAUUACCAUCAUUGUUGAUGUCUAAGAAGAUCAUAUUCAACAAUUUUUUUAAUAUGUUGUUUUCUAUGGUAAUUAAUUGAUGUCUUGUAAUUUUUAAUAUUUAAUGAAAAACAUUAUUUUAAUUCAUCUAGAGCUCUUAAUUCAUGAAGACCUCAUUAACGGUGAGUAAUAGUUGGCUGUAAGUUUGGAGUCAAAGACAUUUCAAGGAGAUGAUUAGUUACAUGUCUUGUUCUCUUUUGUAGGUUUCUGCCAAUUGAAUAAGCUUCAAGAGUUAGAUCUUUCUUACAACUUAUUCCAAGGGACCCUUCCUCCAUGUUUGAAUAAUUUGACAUCUCUGAGGUUAUUGGAUCUCUCUUCCAACCAUUUAUCCGGAAAUCUUUCUUCGCCUCUGUUACCUAAUCUCACAUCCCUGGAGUAUAUCGAUCUCAGUUACAAUCAUUUUGAGGGUUCAUUCUCUUUCAGCUCUUUUGCUAAUCACUCCAAGCUUCAAGUGGUCAUACUUGGAAGUGAUAACAACAAAUUUGAGGUAGAAACUGAAUAUCCAGUUGGUUGGGUUCCCCUGUUUCAAUUGAAGGCUCUUUUCCUAUCCAACUGCAAGCUCACCGGUGACAUUCCUGAUUUUCUUCAAUACCAAUUCAAAUUAGAGGUGGUUGAUCUAUCCCAUAAUAACUUGACAGGAAGGUUCACCAAUUGGUUGCUUGAAAACAACACGAGACUAGAAUUUCUAGUCCUAAGGAAUAACUCUUUAAUGGGUCAACUACUUCCCCUGAGACCUAAUACCCGUAUCCUUUCAUUGGAUAUCUCACACAAUCAGUUGGAUGGACGACUUCAAGAAAAUGUGGGCCAUAUGAUUCCAAAUAUUGUGUUUCUAAAUUUAUCCAACAAUGGUUUUGAAGGUCUUCUCCCAUCCUCAAUAGCUGAAAUGAGUUCCUUAAGGGUGUUGGAUUUGUCUGCCAAUAAUUUCUCAGGAGAAGUACCAAAGCAGUUGCUUGCAACAAAAGAUUUGGUGAUUCUAAAAUUAUCAUAUAAUAAAUUUCAUGGUGAAAUAUUUUCAAGGGACUUUAACAUGACUGGGUUGGAUAUUUUGUAUUUAGACAAUAAUCAGUUCAUGGGAACUCUGUCAAAUGUAAUCUCCGGAAGCUCUCAGUUAAUGGUGUUGGAUGUGAGCAACAACUACAUGUCAGGUGAAAUUCCAAGCGGGAUAGGUAACAUGACAGAAUUGAGAACAUUGGUCAUGGGCAACAAUAAUUUUAGAGGCAAAUUACCACCUGAGAUUUCUCAAUUGCAACAGAUGAAGUUUCUUGACGUUUCUCAAAAUGCUCUUUCAGGAUCUCUUCCUUCUUUGAAGAGCAUGGAGUAUUUAGAGCAUCUACAUUUGCAAGGGAACAUGUUUACAG